AAUCAACACUGAACAGCACACCCAUGCUGCUCAGGCCCAACCAAACCUGAACAACCAACCCCGGUCAUACAGAUCAAACCUCCAAACCAGGAAUUAUCCAUUCCAAACCAGGAGUCAAAUUAAUUAUCACAUUAUUAAUAUUGAUGAGUAGUGUGAGACUAAUCACGAAAAACAUUGCUCAACUCGCCCAUAACCGCGGGCACGGCUAUUCGAAUAGUUUUACUCUGGCCAGAGGUGUACCACUGUACCCACAAGACACGAUUCCACACAUGUUGCCAUGCCCCGAAAUACCACCACGGCAUUGCAAAGGGGGAAAUCGUGACAAUACCCUUUGCACAACACAACUCAAAACAGUGCACCGUACCUGGAUCAUAAUCACCCCCUUAUAAACAAGGCAUGGACUCCCCAGCGAUCCCCAUGGAUGUCACGUCCUGAUAAAUUCAUCCCGAAAAUAAAAAUCAUUCUCUAAAAGGAAUAAUAGAAUUAAUUAAAAUUCGAAAAGAAAUUGGCAAACACUAAAAUACGUGCAAGAAAAAUUCAAAUGUGGCCCGGAGAAUUUUUGUUAAAUUCUCCUUGGUCUAAAAAUAAGCCCUCAAAUUUUACUUGAAUUUUCAGAGCACCGGAAAUAUUUAUUAAACAACAACAUUUAUCAAAGUUCAAUAAAAAGAAAACCUAAAAAUCCCUCCUCUUCCUCCUUUGGGCCAAGCCCAGCCCGAAGUCCUUCCCUCCUCCCUCUCUUUCUCUCCCUCUCCUUCUCUCCCUCCUCUUGGGCCUCCUCCCCUCUCGGCCCAGCUCCCUUUCCCCCCUCUCUCUCCCGGGCUGCCUCUUUCCCCCCCCCCUCCUUCCCGGCCUGCCUCGGCCCAGCCGCCCGGCCCAAGCCGCCUCCCCCUUCCCCCCCCCUCCUGGGCCGGCCGCCCGGCCCAACCCGAGCGGCGCCCUCCCGCCCGAGCGCGCACGUGCGCGCGCUGACCGCGCGCCCCGCGUGGGGCCCACGCGUCAGGCCGCCGUCGCCUUCUUCCUCCAGCCGCCGCCCGGCUUCCCUCUCCCCGUGCGAACCCUAGCUCACUCCCUCCUCCAAAUCCGCUUGAUUCGCUUGGUUAAUUCCAAAAUUAAAUAGGGGAAAUUAAUCCCCAUUGACUCCUCUUCAUUUCCCCCUAAUUUCCCCUUUGAAUGCCGCCCCCAAUCGCCGGGAACGGCCGCGCCAAGUCCGGCCGCCUUCCAUUGCCGCCGGCCGGCUUUUCCGCCGCCGUUCCGACCUCCCCCGUGGCCGGCUCCCUCUUCUCUCAUAUAAAAUAGAACCCCCUCUUUACGUUCUACCGUUUUAGCCUCUUCCCGAGCUCUCCCGUGGUCUCUAGCCACCUCCCCACCGUCGCCCUCUCUCUCCCACGUUGCCGGCCGGCCUCCAGCCGCCUCUCCCGCCUCGCCGGAGCGUCGUCCGGCCGCGCCGUCGCCUCCUCCAGCGUCGCCGCCACCUCCUCCACCCCGGCUUGCCCUCCGUUUCGCGAGGUGACCCCCGGAGCUGCCUCCCCGCCGUCGCCCUUCUCGUUUCUCCGCGCCGGCCGCCUCCAGUCGCCUCUCCCGCCUCGCCCGUGCGCCGUCCGGUCACGCCGUCUUCUCCCUCGGCCUCGCAGCCACCUCCUCUCCCUCGGUCAGCCCUCUGUUUCGCGGGGAAAACACCGGAGACGCGUCCUCGCCGGCGUCCAGUGGCGUCGCCACCACUUCUCCGCCUCCGGCCGCCUCUGCCGCGUCCCCGGUGCGCCGGCCGACGUCGCCACCACCUCUCCCGGCACCGGAGUGCCGUCCUCUCUCCCGGCCAGGCCACGGCGUCGCCCGAAUUUCGCCGGAACGCCGUCAUCUCCGCGCCGGCCUCUCCUUCCUCCUCGUCGGCUCGUCGCCCCGCUGCACCACCACCUUCACCAACAUCGCAGCGGCGUGUUCCACGCCAUCCCCUCCUCCGCUCAGCCGCUGCUGCCUGCCAUCAUCGUCAUCGUCGUCUCCGUUCGUCCUCGCCGAUCGACGUCCCAUCGGUUGCCCGGCUCGUCGUCUCGCGGCGCCGCCUCCGUCAUCGUCAUCGUAGCGGCGUGUUCCACGUCGUCCUCGUCCCCGUGCAGCUGCUGCUGGCUGCCCCUCGUCGCCCCCUCGCCGGUCCCGGUCGUCGUCGUCGUCGUCGUCCUCUCGUCGUUCCCGGUCGUCGUGGCGUUCGUCCCUCCGUCGAGCCGUUCUCGUCCGUCGUCCGCGUUCGUCAAGCGAGCCGCUGCAGCCCCGUCCUCGUCUCCGUCCUCGGCUCCGCGUCGUCAAGCCUCGUGCCGGCCGCGUCUCGCCUUUGUCCAAGGAUCGCCGCCGAAGUCGUUCCCUCGCCGUUCGCCUCCGUCGUCCCCGAGCUGUCCUCGCCGGUCCCGUUCGUCGUUGUCGUUCCCACGCCUCGUCGCGUGGUGGUAAGGAUCCGUCCUCUCGCUUCCCCGCCCUCGUCCUUCCGGUGUCGCCCCGUACCCGUUGUGCGGUCGUCGACCCCGGUACCCGUGUACCGGUGUCGGUAGUCGUUCACGUGUGCGGGUGGCGACCGUGUAGUGUCCGUGUUAGUGUGCCCGCUCGGUAGCCGCGUGGUUUCCACGUGUGCAACCCGUGUGGUGUCUAGUGGAGUCCGUUUGUCGGCCACUCGCCUCGGUUGACACACGGGGUCCGCUUCCGUCGACCCGUGGACCGUCUCUGUGUACCCGGUCUACCGUGGUCCUUUAGGUUGACAUGUGGGGUCCGCAUGUCAACGGCGCAGCCUUCCUGUCUUUUCCAGGCUAGCGCUUACACAUGUUUUAUAAUUGCAAAGCUUAAUUAUAAUAAUUCGCAAAUCUCCAUAUAACAGCAUUAAACUUCGGAUGAUCAUAUCCUGGUCAUACGAGCUCCGAAUCGACCCGUUCAAGUCUCUUAAUGUUUGUUAUAACCUAAAGAACCCUGUGCUUUGUUUUUAUGUAUUGUUAUUGCUUCUUUAUAGGCUUGUAGCUUUGUUUGUGUGCUUCGCGUAGCUUCUGUCGUUCCGGAGGUUCCCGAAGCGUGGUUCGUGGUCGUCGCCGAAGGUUCGGAAGGCCGUUCUCUCUGAGCAAGGCAAGUCACAUCAUCCUUGAACAUAUUGAAUCCCAGUUUGUAAAAUUAUGUUGAUUUAAAUUAUUGCAUUACCGCUUUAUUUAAAUUCCCGCGUUAUCACUGUUUUAUCUAGCCAUGCCUAUUUACCUUUGUUAUGACCUUAUUAUUGCUAUUGUUAUUAUUACCUUGUUCACCCUAGAGUAAACAAAACCUCAACUAGUGGACACUCUACUCGUGGUAUCCCUAGUUUAAAUUUAGGUAGAUGCUUCGCAAUUUAAUAGGACAACAUUAGUUAGAUUUUAUAACUUUAGACUUUGGGAAUUUCUCAUAUCAUUUGGACACUAUGGAAUUGUUGGAUUAUGGUGGAAUUGGACAUACACCUCUCUUCCUCUUUCAAAACCCCUAAAGCCUGUUUUCGGUGGGGUUUGGGUGCAUGCCAGUUAUGGGAAGUAGCACCCCGGCCACUAUAAGGAUUAAGCUCGGGCCUCUGUUGCAAAGCACUACCGUACUAACCACAUGUCUAAUGGGUAAGGCUUAACUCGGUGCUCAGUCUAGUCCUGAACAAAAGGACACGGAUUGGAGAUGGAUGAAGUCGGGUGUCGAUGGACAUUCUCCAGGGCAAAUGAAGGCUACACGAGCUGCGGCCCGGUAGUCGAGAUGUCGUAUGGCAGAGGGUUGGUGCCCUGCUGCUAGGGGCUCAGUUCUGCCUGCCUGUCCCGGGUAUCCCGGCCGUAGGUGGGAUUGGGUCGGUACUUUUGUUCACGGCUAGGAUGGGUGAAGGGUUAUGUCACAUCUUUACGACGGGUUCCAAGGCCAUGGAAUGCGGAGUAAAGAUGUGUCUUGUGGGUAAAGAUGUACACCUCUGAUCAGAGUAAAUCUAUUCGAAUAGCCGAGCCCUCGGAUAUGGGCAAGCCUAGCAAUGUACCCAAGUCAGUGUUUUAAUUCUUAAAAUUUGCUCAACAACUAAAAUAUGGAAUGGUUGGCCUGGGUUGGCUUGGGACGAGCUGGGACCCAGGGUCGGGUUGCCAGUUCGGUCCGAAUCAUCGUAGGCCUUGGGUUAAGGCAGGUUCGUGAGGGUUCACGGCCUUGAUUAAUAAUACUGUGUAGCUCUAGGAUCGUCUUUACAAAAUGGCUUUGGGCAACUAAGUGGCUUUUAAAUGCUGUUUACUGCAAAACUUAACCUCUAUGUUAUUAUCCCCUUGUACUCCUUUGCAUUAAUUGUGCAUCCCCGGUGUGGCUUGCUGAGUACUGUGGUUGUACUCAUUCUUGCUCAAUCUUUCCCCUCUUCAGUAAGAGAAGCUUUGGAGAAGAAGUCUUAGGUGGAGUCCUGGCUUAUACCCCAGUUGAGCGCCUGUGAAGAUGGAGCCGUAGGCCCGCUAGUCCGCUGCUGUUUAUUUUUGAUUGUCAGGCCUUAAGUGCCUUUGUAAUAAUGUAAAUAUUAUCGAUAUAAUAAAGAUGUGUCUUUUAUAUCAUGUUUGUGUGGUGUACCCCGGCUUUUCCUGGGACGGGGAUUAAUACACUAGCGUUCGGGAAAAGGCAAUUUUCCCGGUCGCGACAAGCUGGUAUCAGAGCCAUCUCGACUGUAGGAUAAGCCAAGUGGAUAAAACCUAAGGACAUAUGUUAUAAAUAAAACUAUUUGCGAAAGUUCCUUUUUUUCCUCCCCCUAAUGCUAUUUGCAAAAGGUUUACUCCCUUCUUCCUUCUUCGGAUUUCAACUAGUACUAGAUGGUCAGUUUUGCGAAGAAGAAGAUGUCGUCAGUUGUUUGCCGAAGCUCCGGAAGACUGCAGGAUCCGCUAGCAAAGUGUAGGAAGCAGUGAAGCCAGCCGUGAAGCUGAAGCUAAGAUCUUGGAGAACCAGUCGCAGAACCUAAGCCGCCCUAUAGGGUAGUGUUGUUAGUCGUGUGUUUCUUGCUUGUGUGUGUAGCGCGUGGUUUGCAUCGGUGGGAGGUGAUGUAACCAUGCUAGGUUGUUUGCUUAAUCAACCUGCAGAAUAAGCGAAACAAACAACACAUCAACAAAAAGAGUUAGUUCCUUUAAGGUCUUGUCCCUAGUUCUGGUCUAUUCUUUCCUUGUAUGCUUCCCCUCUCAACCUCUACCUUGUGACAGAUGGAUAACAUUGGUAACAAAGGCUACGGGAAUGAUGGAUCCGAUGACUCAAGAACCCAAGCCAAUGGGAAUGAGAAAAGCAUCAACGAAACCUCACCAGAGCUAAUCCAAAUUGUGGUUAACCAAACCGACAUGUUGGCAACAGCCUUUCAACUAUUACAGAAUCGGAACAAUCCAGCAGGGGCAACCAACGUUCAAGUACCUACAGUCCAGCAACAGUGCAAGUUAUCAGAAUUUCUCAAAACGGGGCCUCCAACCUUUGCCAUGGCCGUCGAUCCUAUGGAAGCCAGUGAUUGGUUGCGCACAGUCGAGAAGAAGCUAGGGUUGAUUCAGUGCACCGACCAGGAGCGGGUUGGCUUCGCAACUCAUCAGUUGGUUGGACCGGCUUCAGAGUGGUGGGAUAGCUACGAAGCAUCACGGCCAGAAGGACAUACCAUCACCUGGAACGAGUUUUCAUCUGUAUUCAAGAGAUCACAUGUUCCCGCAGGAAUGAUCACACUAAGAAAACGAGAGUUUCGCUACCUGAAGCAAGGAGAUUUGACCGUCACAGAGUACCUGCAUGAGUUCUAUCGUUUGGCUCACUAUGCACCAGAAGAUGUGGAAACGGAUGAAGACAAACAAGAGAAGUUUCUCCAGGGGUUAAAAGAUGAGCUUGCAGUGCAACUACUUCUAGAGGAUUAUGAAGAUUUUGAGAAACUUGUGGACAAAGCCAUGCAACUCGAAAGUGAGCAUAAUCGGAUGACGAACUGCAAGAGAAGGAUUGUCAACAUCCCAGUAUUUCCAGGUGGUAACCAAAGACAGCGCACUGAGCCACUUCAGAUCACCGGAUCUCCUGUUGUGCAUCAAGAGUUCCUACCCCAAGAAGAUGAAUGCAAUGCAGACAACAACACUAGCAAUACUAAUAAUGAUGAUACCACCAACAACCAUGGUUCUUGCCCCAUUAGUGACCACUCGAAUAAAGCGUGCAAUGUCAGUAGCAUUCACCAAGAUGUCAACGAUAGUAUCAAUGUUGGAACCCAGAAUGACAACCUUAGCAAUUUCGACACUGAGAAAGACUCCAAUGGUGAUAGCAACUAUGGUACCACUGAUGCCAAUGUUAGCAAGGAUUUCCAACCACCAAUUCCAACUCCAAGUCACAAUGAUCAUCCCCAGAUGGACAGCUCAGCAAAGAAGACGUUGAUUUGUUACAACUGCAAAGAACCAGGUCAUUUCUCUAGAGAUUGUCCACAGCCGAAGCGUAACCUGCGCCAUCACUCCGGCCAUUAUGCAAGAAGAAGACAGGUCACUCGCCUUGUGGUCACUGGAGCAAACGCCGUACCUGUGAGGCCUCAUGUUAAUUCUAACCCAUAGUGGAAACAAUGUACCGAUGUUAAGCACCUUCCCUUUUUGUUUAAGACAGUGCCUUGUAUUCAUGUAAUAAGGGAGACAUGUGUAAUAAAAACAAGUUCUAUGAGGAUUAUUUCGGAAGAGUACUUGGUUGACAACGUUCGAAAGGUGAUUGAUAAGAGAAAUCUAAAAAGAAUACGUCAGGGUUGAAUGUGUAAAGGAAUACUUUGAAUGCUAAAUAAUAACGACAUGAAGAGAAUAGUGGAAAGUGAAUCCGAGUUGCUUGUUCGUGAGAGCUAUUCCCAGUUAUGAACCAAGUGAUAUGUUCGAAGAUAGUCUACAGAGGUCAGACAACGAAGCUUCAGAUUUGGCAGGAUAACGAUCAAACAAUAAGAAGCCCAGCAGUAAAGCUAUUUAGGAAGACGUCAAAGCAUGUCAAGUGGGAUAAUUUGGUUCCCCUGGGAAACAUAAUUCAAAGGCAAAGUUAUCGACCCUUGCAUCGAAUAGCAGAAGUAGCCUGCACCCGGAGACCAGGAAGGCUAAUAUGAGGCAGUUGGUGGCAAGUUAGAAGUAAAUGACAAGCCAGUCGAAGUCAGCUAAAGGUUCAACCAAGGACAAGUCAGGUGAAGAGAAGACUCCAUCUGCAACAGGAGAUCGAGCCAAGCAGUCCAGAGUGGAGAAGUUGUGCUAGGCAAGUUUGUUAUAGAAGACGGAGCGGAAGAAGUCAGACAAGAAGAGAAGACCGCCCAACCUAUCUUCUUGCUAGCCUCCUCGAAUCUCGGGGACGAGAUUCCUGUAAGGGGGGUGGAUUUGUCACGUCCUGAUAAAUUCAUCCCGAAAAUAAAAAUCAUUCUCUAAAAGGAAUAAUAGAAUUAAUUAAAAUUCGAAAAGAAAUUGGCAAACACUAAAAUACGUGCAAGAAAAAUUCAAAUGUGGCCCGGAGAAUUUUUGUUAAAUUCUCCUUGGUCUAAAAAUAAGCCCUCAAAUUUUACUUGAAUUUUCAGAGCACCGGAAAUAUUUAUUAAACAACAACAUUUAUCAAAGUUCAAUAAAAAGAAAACCUAAAAAUCCCUCCUCUUCCUCCUUUGGGCCAAGCCCAGCCCGAAGUCCUUCCCUCCUCCCUCUCUUUCUCUCCCUCUCCUUCUCUCCCUCCUCUUGGGCCUCCUCCCCUCUCGGCCCAGCUCCCUUUCCCCCCUCUCUCUCCCGGGCUGCCUCUUUCCCCCCCCCUCCUUCCCGGCCUGCCUCGGCCCAGCCGCCCGGCCCAAGCCGCCUCCCCCUUCCCCCCCCCUCCUGGGCCGGCCGCCCGGCCCAACCCGAGCGGCGCCCUCCCGCCCGAGCGCGCACGUGCGCGCGCUGACCGCGCGCCCCGCGUGGGGCCCACGCGUCAGGCCGCCGUCGCCUUCUUCCUCCAGCCGCCGCCCGGCUUCCCUCUCCCCGUGCGAACCCUAGCUCACUCCCUCCUCCAAAUCCGCUUGAUUCGCUUGGUUAAUUCCAAAAUUAAAUAGGGGAAAUUAAUCCCCAUUGACUCCUCUUCAUUUCCCCCUAAUUUCCCCUUUGAAUGCCGCCCCCAAUCGCCGGGAACGGCCGCGCCAAGUCCGGCCGCCUUCCAUUGCCGCCGGCCGGCUUUUCCGCCGCCGUUCCGACCUCCCCCGUGGCCGGCUCCCUCUUCUCUCAUAUAAAAUAGAACCCCCUCUUUACGUUCUACCGUUUUAGCCUCUUCCCGAGCUCUCCCGUGGUCUCUAGCCACCUCCCCACCGUCGCCCUCUCUCUCCCACGUUGCCGGCCGGCCUCCAGCCGCCUCUCCCGCCUCGCCGGAGCGUCGUCCGGCCGCGCCGUCGCCUCCUCCAGCGUCGCCGCCACCUCCUCCACCCCGGCUUGCCCUCCGUUUCGCGAGGUGACCCCCGGAGCUGCCUCCCCGCCGUCGCCCUUCUCGUUUCUCCGCGCCGGCCGCCUCCAGUCGCCUCUCCCGCCUCGCCCGUGCGCCGUCCGGUCACGCCGUCUUCUCCCUCGGCCUCGCAGCCACCUCCUCUCCCUCGGUCAGCCCUCUGUUUCGCGGGGAAAACACCGGAGACGCGUCCUCGCCGGCGUCCAGUGGCGUCGCCACCACUUCUCCGCCUCCGGCCGCCUCUGCCGCGUCCCCGGUGCGCCGGCCGACGUCGCCACCACCUCUCCCGGCACCGGAGUGCCGUCCUCUCUCCCGGCCAGGCCACGGCGUCGCCCGAAUUUCGCCGGAACGCCGUCAUCUCCGCGCCGGCCUCUCCUUCCUCCUCGUCGGCUCGUCGCCCCGCUGCACCACCACCUUCACCAACAUCGCAGCGGCGUGUUCCACGCCAUCCCCUCCUCCGCUCAGCCGCUGCUGCCUGCCAUCAUCGUCAUCGUCGUCUCCGUUCGUCCUCGCCGAUCGACGUCCCAUCGGUUGCCCGGCUCGUCGUCUCGCGGCGCCGCCUCCGUCAUCGUCAUCGUAGCGGCGUGUUCCACGUCGUCCUCGUCCCCGUGCAGCUGCUGCUGGCUGCCCCUCGUCGCCCCCUCGCCGGUCCCGGUCGUCGUCGUCGUCGUCGUCCUCUCGUCGUUCCCGGUCGUCGUGGCGUUCGUCCCUCCGUCGAGCCGUUCUCGUCCGUCGUCCGCGUUCGUCAAGCGAGCCGCUGCAGCCCCGUCCUCGUCUCCGUCCUCGGCUCCGCGUCGUCAAGCCUCGUGCCGGCCGCGUCUCGCCUUUGUCCAAGGAUCGCCGCCGAAGUCGUUCCCUCGCCGUUCGCCUCCGUCGUCCCCGAGCUGUCCUCGCCGGUCCCGUUCGUCGUUGUCGUUCCCACGCCUCGUCGCGUGGUGGUAAGGAUCCGUCCUCUCGCUUCCCCGCCCUCGUCCUUCCGGUGUCGCCCCGUACCCGUUGUGCGGUCGUCGACCCCGGUACCCGUGUACCGGUGUCGGUAGUCGUUCACGUGUGCGGGUGGCGACCGUGUAGUGUCCGUGUUAGUGUGCCCGCUCGGUAGCCGCGUGGUUUCCACGUGUGCAACCCGUGUGGUGUCUAGUGGAGUCCGUUUGUCGGCCACUCGCCUCGGUUGACACACGGGGUCCGCUUCCGUCGACCCGUGGACCGUCUCUGUGUACCCGGUCUACCGUGGUCCUUUAGGUUGACAUGUGGGGUCCGCAUGUCAACGGCGCAGCCUUCCUGUCUUUUCCAGGCUAGCGCUUACACAUGUUUUAUAAUUGCAAAGCUUAAUUAUAAUAAUUCGCAAAUCUCCAUAUAACAGCAUUAAACUUCGGAUGAUCAUAUCCUGGUCAUACGAGCUCCGAAUCGACCCGUUCAAGUCUCUUAAUGUUUGUUAUAACCUAAAGAACCCUGUGCUUUGUUUUUAUGUAUUGUUAUUGCUUCUUUAUAGGCUUGUAGCUUUGUUUGUGUGCUUCGCGUAGCUUCUGUCGUUCCGGAGGUUCCCGAAGCGUGGUUCGUGGUCGUCGCCGAAGGUUCGGAAGGCCGUUCUCUCUGAGCAAGGCAAGUCACAUCAUCCUUGAACAUAUUGAAUCCCAGUUUGUAAAAUUAUGUUGAUUUAAAUUAUUGCAUUACCGCUUUAUUUAAAUUCCCGCGUUAUCACUGUUUUAUCUAGCCAUGCCUAUUUACCUUUGUUAUGACCUUAUUAUUGCUAUUGUUAUUAUUACCUUGUUCACCCUAGAGUAAACAAAACCUCAACUAGUGGACACUCUACUCGUGGUAUCCCUAGUUUAAAUUUAGGUAGAUGCUUCGCAAUUUAAUAGGACAACAUUAGUUAGAUUUUAUAACUUUAGACUUUGGGAAUUUCUCAUAUCAUUUGGACACUAUGGAAUUGUUGGAUUAUGGUGGAAUUGGACAUACACCUCUCUUCCUCUUUCAAAACCCCUAAAGCCUGUUUUCGGUGGGGUUUGGGUGCAUGCCAGUUAUGGGAAGUAGCACCCCGGCCACUAUAAGGAUUAAGCUCGGGCCUCUGUUGCAAAGCACUACCGUACUAACCACAUGUCUAAUGGGUAAGGCUUAACUCGGUGCUCAGUCUAGUCCUGAACAAAAGGACACGGAUUGGAGAUGGAUGAAGUCGGGUGUCGAUGGACAUUCUCCAGGGCAAAUGAAGGCUACACGAGCUGCGGCCCGGUAGUCGAGAUGUCGUAUGGCAGAGGGUUGGUGCCCUGCUGCUAGGGGCUCAGUUCUGCCUGCCUGUCCCGGGUAUCCCGGCCGUAGGUGGGAUUGGGUCGGUACUUUUGUUCACGGCUAGGAUGGGUGAAGGGUUAUGUCACAUCUUUACGACGGGUUCCAAGGCCAUGGAAUGCGGAGUAAAGAUGUGUCUUGUGGGUAAAGAUGUACACCUCUGAUCAGAGUAAAUCUAUUCGAAUAGCCGAGCCCUCGGAUAUGGGCAAGCCUAGCAAUGUACCCAAGUCAGUGUUUUAAUUCUUAAAAUUUGCUCAACAACUAAAAUAUGGAAUGGUUGGCCUGGGUUGGCUUGGGACGAGCUGGGACCCAGGGUCGGGUUGCCAGUUCGGUCCGAAUCAUCGUAGGCCUUGGGUUAAGGCAGGUUCGUGAGGGUUCACGGCCUUGAUUAAUAAUACUGUGUAGCUCUAGGAUCGUCUUUACAAAAUGGCUUUGGGCAACUAAGUGGCUUUUAAAUGCUGUUUACUGCAAAACUUAACCUCUAUAUUAUUAUCCCCUUGUACUCCUUUGCAUUAAUUGUGCAUCCCCGGUGUGGCUUGCUGAGUACUGUGGUUGUACUCAUUCUUGCUCAAUCUUUCCCCUCUUCAGUAAGAGAAGCUUUGGAGAAGAAGUCUUAGGUGGAGUCCUGGCUUAUACCCCAGUUGAGCGCCUGUGAAGAUGGAGCCGUAGGCCCGCUAGUCCGCUGCUGUUUAUUUUUGAUUGUCAGGCCUUAAGUGCCUUUGUAAUAAUGUAAAUAUUAUCGAUAUAAUAAAGAUGUGUCUUUUAUAUCAUGUUUGUGUGGUGUACCCCGGCUUUUCCUGGGACGGGGAUUAAUACACUAGCGUUCGGGAAAAGGCAAUUUUCCCGGUCGCGACAAUGGACUUCUCGCCACUUCUCAGUCUGGCGCACUAUAAUGAAUCAUGCUAUACAAAGGAUAAAGCCGUUGCCCACGCUGGCUUGUGGUUGGCACGAUAAAUGUUUCACAACAGUAGCUCGCGAACCGGUCCUUAAUUGCCAUGAGCACGACCUUCAAAACCAUGUGCUCACAACCCACCAUUAAUCAUAUUUUAAUUACCAAUUAAUUAUCAUAACACGAUUAACCAUCGUGAGCUACCAUUAAAUAUAACCAUAAUAAUAAUGUAGUAUAUAUGAUUCAUCCCAUUAGUGAGCUAAUGUUUCUAAACAUGGCUAAGCAAUUAUAUAUAUAUAACAUUUAGCUGAACCAAACCAAUACAUAAGGUUCAAGCUAAUCAAUUUAUUACCCAAGGUAUCAAGGAAUAGAGCAUUCAAUGCAAAUUGGCCAUAACAAAGGAAAAGGUUCACACCACCCGGUGACAUUCAAAAAUAAAUGCACAGUUGAAAUAAAUAGAGAAUUUAAAUAUAGGAUCAACAUGCUCAAAGGAUUGUGUUUAGGAUCUGUGUGACUUGCCUUGCAAUAAUCGAUCUUCAAUUAAUCUUCUUGAUCACUUCCGACGCACUCACGAACCUUCGCAACGACGGAAACGACAAGCUAACACGCAAAACGAAGAAAAAGACUAAUAAAAAACCAAAUAAACAGUACAUAAAAAGUAAACAAACAUGUAGAUCAUAAUUUUAGAUGAAUUAUGAGACUUGAACGGCCUCAUUCUGACUUCAAAUGAAUUUAUUAUGAAUUUUACAAGAUUAAAUCUAAUUAAAGCCCAUUUAAAAAGAAUUAAAUAAAUUUAAUUCAAUUUAUGGACAAUUUUAAUAUGUAGAUCUUUAUUUUAGAAAAAUUUAGCAACUUGAACUACAUUAAACUGAGUUACGAUGAUUUAGUUAUGAUUUUCCGAAGAUUUAAUCUAUUAAAAGAAAAGGAAAAAGAUGAGAUGAUGACGUCAGCAUGACGUCAUCCAUGGCCGGCGGCUCGGAUUGGCGACCUCGCCGGAGCUAGGAUGGUCGGCCGGGGAUUUGGAGGGCACCUACGCAUAGAGGACGACGAGAUGAACCCAACGGUACUCACCACGACGACAAACGACGAACGACGACGGCCGGCGACGAGAAGGGCGACGGCGGCGGCUCGGUUGAACGGCGACGGCGAGCUCCGGUGGCCGGCGGCAAAGAAGGACGGGCGGCCGAGCUUCUCCACCCCUUGGCGCACCUCUUGGCGAUGGCGGCAAGCGGCGGCGACGACGGAGGCGGCGGCGCGACGACGCCGAAGAUGGCCGGCGGCGGCGGCGAGCUAGACGCGCGUGGCGCGGCGGCUAGGAGGCACGGGAGACCACGGGAGAGAGAGCAAAUGAAAGAGGGCGACGAGGGGAUGCUAUAUAUAGCCUUGGAUUGAAGAGAUCGAACUCCAAACGAGAGGAAUCGACUCGGGAAAAAUCCAAACUCGGUUUUAGGGAUAAAAUCAAAACGAACUCGAUUCGGAUAAAAUACCCAACGAUUCGCUCCGAUUCUUGAGGGGAAAGAUAGAGGAGAAUGAGAGGAUAAAAUCCCCUCAAAAACCCGGAGGAAACGGGGUCGGAUUGGGUUGGAUUUGAGAGAAGAAAGGAGGCGCGGUCGGUCGGCAGCUCGGCUCGGCUUGGCCGGCCGGAGGUAGGGGAUGACCCCGACAUGUGGGCCCCACAUGUCGGUGGCUAGAGGAGGAGGGGCGGCGGCUGCUUGGCUGGGCCGACUUGGGCCGGUUCGGCCGCGCGGAGAAGAGAAGAGUUGGGCCGAAUUCGGCCCAACGGCUUAAAGGAGGGGUUUUUGAACUUUUUCAAUAAAAACAAUUUGUGAAAUGUUGUUUCAUUUAUUAAAAAUACUUCCCUUGCUCAAAUAAUUCCCAGAAAAAUCUAGAAAAUAGAGGAGCAAGCAUAGUAUUUAAUAAAAUUUUAUCUAGCUCAUUUUUAUAUUGAAAAUUUUCCUAGAAAAUUAGGGUUUAGCUUGUAGGUUUUUAAAAUAAUUUCUAAAAAAUUCCAAUUAAACAACAAUUUAUAUAUUUAGGAUUUUAAACAAGAAAAACUCUUAACAAUUAUAGUUAGAUCAUUUAAUGAUCAAAUAAUUACUAAACUGUUCUUUGUAUCAUUUAGGAAUUGAGCUCCGAAAAAUCCGAGAAAAUUCCAGAGAGUAUAAUUAACCAUGGAGAAUUUAAUAAAAAUUAAAUCCAUCCAUGCUUUAUAUUUAGGAAAUUUUAUUUCCCACAUUUAACUUCACUUGUAAAUUAAUGAACAUUUAAUAUAAAUUCUAUUAAUAAUUUACUAAAUUCUUUAUAAAUCUUGAAACGAAAAUCAGGCUGUGACAGAACUCCAAACGAGAGGAAUCGACUCGGGAAAAAUCCAAACUCGGUUUUAGGGAUAAAAUCGAAACGAACUCGAUUCGGAAAAAAUCCUCAACGAUUUGCUUCGAAACUUGGGAAAAGAUAGAGGAGAACGUGAGGAACAAAACCCCUCAAAAACCCGAAAGAAUCGGGGUCGGAUUGGAGCAGAAACGGAGGCGGAAAAGGGCGGCUCGGGCUUGCUAGGGCGGCCGGCCGGAGGUAGGGGAUGGAUCCGACAGGUGGGCCCCACCUGUCGGUCUCCUGAGAGGAGGGCACGGGCGGCUCGGCUGGGCCGGCUUGGGCCGCGCGGGAGAGAGAGAAUGUUGGGCCGAAUUCGGCCCAACGGCUAAGGAAGGGGAUUUUUGAACUUUUUUGAAUAAAAACAAUUUGUGAAAUGUUGUUUCAUUUAUUAAAAAUACUUCCCUUGCUCAAAUAAUUCCCAGAAAAAUCUAGAAAAUAGAGGAGCAAGCAUAGUAUUUAAUAAAAUUUUAUCUAGCUCAUUUUUAUGUUGAAAAUUUUCCUAGAAAAUUAGAGUUUAGCUUGUAGGCUUUUAAAAUAAUUUCUAAAAAUUCCAAUUAAACAACAGUUUAUACAUUUAGGAUUUUUAGGGCGUGACAAACCUACCCCCCUUAAACGGAAUCUCGUCCUCGAGAUUCAGAAGAACUGGCGAACAGAUGAGGAUGAGCUGACUUCAAUUCAUCUUCUCGCUCCCAAGUGGCUUCUUCUUCUGAAUGAUUGCUCCACUGAACCUUGCAGAACCGUAUAACGCGAUUCCUGGUAUUCCUCUCGCUUACUUCCAAAAUUCUGACGGGCUUCUCAACAUAAGUUAAAUCUUCUUGAAGCUCUAUACGAUCAGGAUCUGCUUCCUCCGUAGGUACACGUAAACAUUUCUUCAACUGAGACACAUGGAACACGUCAUGCAUUCCCGUCAUUGACGAAGGCAACUCUAACUGAUAAGCUACUUCACCUCUUCGACUCACAAUCUUAAAAGGUCCCACAAAGCGCGGUGCCAAUUUCCCUUUGGUUUGGAAACGAUGAACACCUCGUAACGGCGUAACCCGAAGGUAUACAUAAUCUCCUUCUUCGAAAGCCAAAUCUUUGCGACGAUUGUCGGCAUAGCUCUUCUGACGUGACUGAGCAACACGCAACCUUUCUUGGAUAAUCUUCACUUUUUCUUCUGCCUCUCGCAAUAUGUCUGUCCCAAAAACCUGACGUUCACCGGUUUGAUCCCAAAGAAGCGGCGUACGACACUUUCGACCAUAUAAUGCUUCAUACGGAGCCAUUUGCAAACUAGCUUGAUAACUAUUGUUAUAUGAGAAUUCCGCGUACGACAAAUUCUUAUCCCAACUUCCACCAAAAUCUAGAACACAGGCUCUCAACAUAUCUUCUAAAAUUUGGUUUACUCUUUCUGUCUGACCAUCUGUUUGAGGGUGAUAAGCGGUACUGAAAUUCAAACGGGUACCCAUCUCAACUUGUAAUUUCUGCCAAAACUUCGAAGUAAACUGGCUACCUCUAUCUGACACUAUCUUCUUAGGAACGCCAUGCAAACAUACCACUCUGGCCUUGUAUAACUCUGCAAGCUUAUUCCCCGUAUAGGUUGUUUUGACCGGUAUGAAAUGCGCGACUUUUGUCAACCUAUCAACCACUACCCAAAUAGAAUCAUGUCCUGCCGACGUUCUGGGUAGACCGGUUAUAAAAUCCAUUCCUAUUUCUUCCCACUUCCACUCUGGAAUCUUUAACGGUUGUAACAGAUCGGCUGGCUUCUGAUGUUCUGCCUUGACCCGCUGACAUACAUCACAUAGAGCCACAUAUUCUGCUAUCUCACGACGCAUACUGGCCCACCAGAAUUGUUGCUUUAAAUCUUGAUACAUCUUAGUGCUUCCAGGGUGAAUGGAAUACAAAGUUUCAUGAGCUUCUUUCAUGAUAGUAUCCUUCAACUCCUUAUUAUCUGGGACGCAAAUUCUUUCUCCUAACCACACAGUACCUUGCUCAUCUUCUACAAAACCGAUGGCUUUUCCUCUUCUCAUGUUUUUCUUUAUUUCUUGGAUAUCAGGAUCAUUCACUUGAGCUUCUCUAACUUGAUCAAACAGAGUAGGUUUAGCUUCUAAAGCGGCCAUAAAACCUUUGCUGACUAUUCCCAAGUUCAACUUUUCAAAUUCUUGGCAUAACUCCCGAGGUAAACGUCGACCUUCUGACAUAUUACAGUAGCUUUUCCUGCUAAGUGCAUCGGCUACAACAUUUGCUUUCCCCGGGUGAUAGUGGAUUUCCAUAUCAUAAUCUUUAAUCAACUCUAACCAUCUUCGCUGACGCAUGUUCAAAUCAGGUUGAGUGAAAAUAUACUUCAAACUUUUAUGAUCCGUAUAUACCUCUGUACAGUUACCGAAAAGAUAAUGACACCAAAUCUUCAAUGCAUGCACCACAGCAGCCAAUUCUAGGUCAUGCGUUGGGUAGUUAUUCUCAUGGGGACGUAAUUGCCUAGACGCAUAAGCAACCACCUUUCCUUCUUGCAUCAACACACAACCCAAACCGAGUCGGGAUGCAUCACAAUACACUUGGAAACCUUUCCUCGAAUCAGGCAAAACUAACACAGGCGCAGUCACUAGCCUUUUCUUCAAUUCUUGGAAACUUUGUUCACAAUCCUCUGUCCACUUGUACUUUACUUCCUUCUGAAGCAGACGAGUCAUUGGUCUGGCGAUCUUUGAAAAGUUCUCAAUAAACCUGCGGUAAUACCCAGCAAGUCCAAGGAAACUACGAAUUUCUGAAACCGUCUUGGGUUGCUUCCAACUUAACACUGACUCCACAUUGCUUGGAUCUACUGCCACUCCUCCGGACGAGAUGACAUGACCAAGAAACUUCACUUCGGACAACCAAAAUUCACAUUUACUGAACUUGGCAUAAAGCUGAUGCUCACGUAGUUUCUCUAAAGCUAGACGAAGAUGCUCUUCAUGUUCUUCCUUCGUCUUGGAGUAAAUAAGAAUGUCAUCAAUAAACACCACGACAAACUUAUCCAGAUAUUCCAUAAACACCUUGUUCAUCAGAUUCAUGAAAAAGGCUGGGGCAUUAGUGAGUCCAAAUGACAUAACGGUACAUUCGAACAUACCAUACCGAGUUGUGAAAGCGGUCUUUGGUAUAUCUUCCUCACGGAUUCGAAGUUGAUGAUAUCCAGAACGGAGAUCUAUCUUAGAGAAAACUGUAGCACCUUCCAGUUGAUCAAACAGGUCAUCAAUUCUGGGUAGAGGAUACUUAUUCUUGAUAAUCACCUCAUUCAACGCUCGAUAAUCCACGCACAUUCUCUGAGUAUGAUCUUUUGUCACGCCCGGAAUUUCUAUCCAAAAUUCCAAACGCUUACAUGUGUGUGAACCCUCGUCCAGGAAUCAGCCGAGGCACACAAUAACAAAUUGAUAAUAGAGUACAAUUAUUACUCUAAUUAAUAAGCGUAUAAAGUGUCAUUACAGAGGUAGAUAGUUCCUCUCAAACAAUAAAUAUCUAAGCAGCGGAAAAAGAAAUAAACGGCGCAGACGGCUCCACUCCACAGGCAGCUUGACCAAGGCUACACCUAAUCCUCCACUCCAUCAGCUUCACUGUAGAACUCUUCCUCUGAUGAAUGAUUGCAAGGUGAGUAUAUGACAUACUCAGCAAGCCACGCAGCAAAUAUGCAAGUGCACAGGAUAACAAAGGAUGGCAUAAUAGGGUUUCAUUUGCAAAAGCAGCAUUUAGCAAACAUUUGAGAAUUUAAUCAAACCGUUAAGUAAUAAUUAAACAAUAUUAAUCCAACGCUAUACAACAUACCCUGUUGUAUAGGCCCAACCAUUCUAAACAACCACCUCGGCUGCACAGUUCUAUCUCCAAACCAGGAAUAUACCAUUCCAAACCAGGAGCUAAUCAAAUUAUUACCAGUUAAAGCAUCAUUUACUAAGAUGAGAAGUGUGGGACUAAUCACGAAAGACAUUGUUAGACUCGCCCAUAACCGCGGGCACAGCUAUUCGAAUAGUUUUACUCUGAUCAGAGGUGUACCACUGUACCCACAAGACACAACCCCACAUCAUGUCACCAUGUGCCUCAAUACCACCACGGUACCUCGGAAAGGAGUUGUGACAAUACCCCUCAUACAACACAAUCCACUGCAGUGCACCUUCCUGGAUCAUAAUCACCCCCUUAUAAACAAGGCAUGGACUCCCCAGCGACCCCCGUGGGCUUAUCUCCGCCACUUCUCAGUCUGGUGCCCCGCAAUGAACCAUGCUAUACAAAGGAUAAAGCCGUUGCCCAUGCUGGCUUGUGGUUGGCACGAUUAAUGUUUCACAACCGAAACUCGUGAACCGGUCCUUAAUUGUCAUGAGCACGACCAUCAAAACCAUGUGCUCACAACCCACCAUUAUCAGGUUUUAGUUGGCACAUUAAUUAAUUAACCAAUCACGAUUGUCCAUCGUGAACUAUCAAUAAGCCAUCGUGAAAUAAUAGUGAAUCAUUAGUUAUCCCAUAAGUGUGCUAAUGUUUCUAAGCAGGGCUAAGCAAUUAUUUCUAAUAUCUAGUUGAACCAAUAAACAUAAAGCUCAACUAGUCCAAUUUUAAUAACCCGAGGUAUCAAGGAAUAAGGUAAUCAAGAACAAAAGGGCUAUAACAAACAAUAGGUUAAUUCCACCCAAUGACAUUCGAAAAUAAAUGCAAUAUUUGAAUAGAAACAAUAGCUUUAAAUAGGAUCAACCAUGCUCAAAGGGUUGUUUGGGAUCUGUGUGACUUGCCUUGCUGGCCUUGGAACUCUUCAAACUCUUCUCCGGCGAAAACGGACUCUCCGGAAACGACGGAAUCUAAGCAGAAAGAAGCAAAAACACCAAAACAGCACAUAAAUAAGCUUGAACAGUACAUGUGGAUAUUUUUAUUGUGUAGAUCUCAAUUUUAGAAAAAUUUAGAGACUUGAACCAACUAAAUCGGAGCUAAGAUGAAUUAGUUAUGAAUUUUUAAAGAUUAAAUCGGAUUAAAACACUUAAAUCGGUUAAAAUUGAAUUAUGACGCAAUAAUGAAUUAUUUUUGAAAAGGAAAAGAAGGUUUAUUGCGUCAGCGGCUAGGGUUUCGGUGGACCGGGCGCACGGGCGGCGGUUCACGCGAACGGACGGCCGAGAUCGAUCCAAUCCAAAACGGACGGCCGAGAUCGAACGGUCCACGACCGGCUCACGGCGGACGACCCCGAUGACGUUAGCGAUGACGUCACCGACAGCGGCGGCGGCUCGGCGGAGCAGACGGCUCGGACGGCGCACGCUCGCCGGCGAACGGCGGCACUACGGCACAAACGGAGGGCACCAGCACGUAGAGGACGACGCGGCGAACUCACCGGUGACCAAAACGGCGGCGGAGGAAGAACGGACGGCGACGGUGACGAGGUUGAAACGGCGGCGGAGAUCGGGUCGACGACGGCGACGAUGCUCCGGCGGUCUCCGACGGUGGCGAAGUGGCGGACGAGGACGACGACGACUUGGCGACCACGACGGCGGUCUUCCCGAGCGACGACGAUGACCGGAACGGCGGCGGCGCACGGCUGGAGCGACGGCGGCGACGGCGGCACUAGGGCACACGGUGCUAGAGCUCUUCCGGCGACGAGAGGCGAAGGCGAGGGUGGCGACGGGUAGAGGAGGCACCGGGGGUCCUUUUAAAUGGGCUCGGAGGCGGCGGCAAAGGCCCACGGCGACGGCAACGGCGAAGGAAAGCUCGGGUAGAACGAAUCCGAGACGAACUCGAAUCCAACUCUUUCCAAGACGAUUUGGCCAAAGAUUCCAAAGGAGAAAAGGUAGAGGAGAUCCCGAGGAUCAUUUCCCCUCUAUCAAUUCGGCCGGAGAAGGAAAGGAGCGGCCGGAUUGGAAAGCGGCGGCGGCGGCGCGAAACUAGGGUUUCGGCCCGAGGAAGACGACGACUCCGACAGGCGGGACCCACCUGUCAGCGACAGCGAGGGCGCGCGCGCGAGCGGCUGCGGCUGCGGACUGGGCCGGCUGGGCCGAGGAGAGAGAGAGGAGGUUUUGGGCCGACUUUCGGCCCAAAGCCAAAAGAAGACUUUUUAAAACCUUUUUCCAUUUAAAUUAUUUCUUAAAUGCAAUUCCAUUUAUUAAAAAUACUUUCUUAGCUCAAAUAAAUCCCAGAAAAAUCUAGGAAUUAUAGAAUUAAGCAAAGUAUUUAAUAAAAUUUUAUCUGGCCCCAUUUUAUAUUGGAAUUUAUUAAUUAAAACUAGAUCUUCCUUUCUAGGCUUUUAAAAUAUAUUCUAGAAAUUCCAAUUAAACAACAAUUUAUAAAUUUUGAAUUUUCAGGAUGUGACAAACCUACCCCCCUUAAACAGAAUCUCGUCCUCGAGAUUCGGAAGAACUGGCGAACAGAUGCGGAUGAGCUGACUUCAAUUCAUCUUCUCAUUCCCAAGUUGAUUCUUCUUCCGAGUGAUUACUCCAUUGGACUUUGCAAAAACGGAUAACUCGAUUCCUGGUUCUUCUCUUAUUUGUUUCCAAGAUACGGAUUGGUUUCUCCACAUAGGUCAGAUCCUCUUGGACUUCUAUCUAUUCAAGAUUAGCUUCUUCGGUAGGUACCCUUAAACACUUCUUCAAUUGCGACACAUGGAACACAUUAUGGACUCCUGCCAAGGAUUGAGGUAACUCUAACUGAUAAGCAACCUCUCCUCUUCUACUGACAAUCUUAUAAGGUCCCACAAAACGCGGUGCUAAUUUUCCUUUGGUAUGAAAACGAUGAACUCCUCGAAAAGGCGUGACACGAAGAUACACAUAAUCUCCUUCUUCAAAACUCAAAUCUCUACGGCGAUUGUCGGCAUAACUCUUAUGACGAGACUGAGCCACUCGCAAUCUUUCUUGAAUGAUUUUCACCUUUUCUUCUGCUUCUCUUAGAAUAUCCGUCCCGAAAACCUGACGUUCUCCCGUUUGAUCCCACAAAAGCGGAGUGCGGCACUUACGACCAUACAGUGCUUCGUAAGGAGCCAUCUGUAUACUAGCUUGAUAACUGUUGUUGUACGAAAAUUCUGCAUAAGGUAGAUUCUUAUCCCAACUUCCACCGAAAUCUAAAGCACAAGCUCUCAACAUGUCUUCCAAAAUCUGAUUCACCCUUUCGGUUUGUCCGUCUGUCUGCGGAUGAUAAGCAGUGCUAAAGUUCAGCUUAGAACCCAUCUCUUCCUGAAGUUUCUUCCAGAAAUUUGAGGUAAACUGACUGCCUCGAUCAGACACUAUUUUCUUAGGGACGCCAUGCGAACACACAAUCCUUGCCAUAUACAAUUCUGCCAACCGACUUCCGGAAUAAGUUGUCUUUACCGGAAUAAAAUGAGCCACUUUGGUAAGUCUAUCGACUAUUACCCAAAUAGAGUCAUGGCCUGAUGACGUUCUGGGUAAACCAGUGAUAAAAUCCAUACCGAUUUCUUCCCAUUUCCAUUCAGGAAUCUUCAAAGGCUGCAGCAAACCGGCAGGUUUCUGAUGUUCUGCCUUGACACGCUGACAAACAUCACAUACUGCUACGUAUUCUGCGAUUUCACGCUUCAUACUUGCCCACCAAAAUCUUUCUUUGAGAUCCUGGUACAUCUUAGUACUUCCAGGGUGAAUGGAGUAUAAAGUAUCAUGAGCUUCUUUCAGAAUUACAUCUUUCAAAUCUUUGUUGUCAGGGACACAGAUUCUCUCGCCCAACCAAACAGUUCCUUGCUCAUCCUCCAAGAAACCGAUAGCUUUUCCUCUUCUCAUAUUCUUCUUGAUCUCUUGAAUAUCAGGAUCAUUAAUUUGGGCUUCUCUAACUUGAUCAAUUAGAGUGGGCUUCGCUUCUAAAGCUGCAACGAAACCUCUACUGACAAUUCCCAAAUUUAAUCUUUCAAAUUCCUGGCAUAACUCCAAUGGCAACUGUCGUCCUUCGGUAGCAUUGCAAUAGCCUUUCCUGCUAAGAGCGUCGGCUACAACAUUUGCCUUUCCUGGGUGAUAAUGAAUUCCCAUGUCAUAAUCCUUAAUUAAUUCCAACCAUCUCCGUUGUCUCAUGUUCAGAUCCGGCUGAGUAAAGAUAUACUUUAAACUCUUGUGAUCGGUAUAUACCUCUGUACGAGUACCGAAAAGAUAAUGACGCCAAAUUUUCAACGCAUGAACUACUGCAGCUAACUCAAGAUCAUGAGUAGGGUAGUUCUUCUCAUGCGGACGUAACUGACGAGAUGCAUAGGCAACCACCUUCCCAUCUUGCAUCAGAACACAACCUAACCCAAGUUUGGAUGCAUCGCAAUAGACUUGGAAACCCUUCUUUGGAUCGGGUAAAAUCAAAAUAGGAGCUGAUAUCAAGCGAUUCUUCAACUCUUGAAAACUCUGCUCACAUUCUUCUGACCACUUGUACUUCACAUCUUUCUGUAGCAGUCGUGUCAUGGGCUUAGCAAUCUUGGAAAAAUUCUCUAUAAACCUCCGGUAAUAUCCUGCGAGGCCUAGAAAACUGCGAAUCUCUGAAACUGUCUUUGGUUGUUUCCAGUUGGUUACGGAUUCCACAUUACUGGGAUCGACGGCAACUCCUCCUGCUGAGAUGACGUGACCAAGGAACUUCACUUCAGACAACCAAAAUUCACACUUGCUAAACUUAGCAUACAGUUGAUGUUCUCGUAGCUUCUCCAAUGCAAGGCGAAGAUGUUCUUCAUGCUCUUCUUUGGUUCGGGAGUAGAUAAGAAUGUCAUCAAUAAAGACCACCACAAACUUGUCUAGGUAUUCCAUAAACACCUUAUUCAUCAAGUUCAUGAAGAAAGCAGGGGCAUUGGUAAGUCCAAAAGACAUAACAGUACAUUCGAACAACCCAUACCUAGUGGUAAAAGCUGUCUUAGGUAUAUCUUCCUCUUUGAUUCUCAACUGGUGAUAUCCUGAUCGAAGAUCUAUCUUGGAGAAUACAGUAGCACCUUUAAGCUGAUCAAACAAAUCAUCAAUUCUGGGCAGCGGAUACUUAUUCUUGAUAGUCACAUCGUUUAAUGCACGAUAGUCCACACACAUCCGCUGAGUAUGGUCUUUCUUUUCCACAAAAAUAACCGGAGCACCCCAUGGAGAUGAACUCGGUCUGAUGUACCCUUUCUGAAGCAAAUCGUCUACUUGCCUUUUGACUUCUGCCAACUCAUUGGCUGCCAUUCUAUAAGGUCUCUUAUGGAUCGGAGUUGUUCCUGGUACCAAAUCUAUUCUGAACUCUAUAUCCCUUUUGGGCGGCAUACCAGGUAAAUCAUCUGGGAACACAUCGGGAUACUCCCGGACUAUAGGAAUCUCUUCCAAAGUUAUCUGGUUCAGUCUUGACCUUAAAGACUCAGAUGACAAUGCAUGAACAGUUACAACUCGACCAUCAUUGCUGAUGAGAGUUACUUUUCUGUUAGCACAGUCUAUCACACCUUUAUGUCUGGCUAACCAGUCCAUCCCUAGGAUGACAUCAAGGUCUUUGGAUUCUAACAAGAUAAGAUUGGCCAGAAAUGGUACUCCUUGAAUUUCUAUUCUGACAGAGGGGCUACGUUGCAAAGAGAGUGCUUGAUUGCUUGGGGUACUAACCAUCAAAGGACGUCUAAGAUCUUCUACUUCCAUCCCAUGAUUUCCCGCAAAACUCAUAGAUAAGAAUGAAUGUGUAGCACCAGAAUCGAAAAGCACUGUUGCAGGAACUGAGUUAACAGAAAACGUACCCAAAAUCACAUCUGGAGCAUCUUGGGCUUCUGCAGCAGCAACAUGAUUGACACGGGCCUUUGAUGCUGGUGCGGUAGAGUUGCUCUGGGCAGGGACAACCUUCACGCGUCGGGGCUUCGGACACUUGUCAGCAUAAUGUCCUGGGUCUCCACAGUUGAAACACACCACGGGCUUGCUGCCUGGCUCCCUCUUGGCAGGUUGUUGCUGUGUUGGAGCUGCAACAGGACGUGGAGCUUGAUUGCGGAUGUUGUUGCCAGCAUUGUUGUUGAAAAACUGACGUUGCGGACGAACAACAGACGAAGAACCUCCCUGUGGCAUAGACUGGGGUCCUAAAGUAAGACGCGGCUUCUGAUUACUCCCCUGUUGUGCUUUGAAGUGAGCAAUCCGGCGUUUCUUCUGCUCCAUGCGGUUGUACUUGUCUUCCUGACGAAUAGCCUUAUCCAUUAAUUUCUGGAAAUCAGAAUAAUCUCCAGUCAUGAGUGGGUAAGAAAGCUCAUCAUUAAGUCCUUCCAAGAACUUCUCCUGGCGCUCUUCAUCAUUGCGCACAUCUUCCGGAGCAUAACGAGCAAGACGAUUGAACUCGUGCAGAUACUCCGUAACAGAGCGAGAUCCCUGGGUGAGCGACCUGAACUCCUUCUUCUUGAGAGACACCACUCCCGAUGGUAUAUGCGUCUUCCGGAAAGCAGCGGUGAAUUCAAGCCAAGUAAUAGGUUCAGCAGUAGUCCUAUUCAGGCGGAAGUGAUCCCACCAUUCAGAGGCAGGGCCAUGCAACUGAUGUGAUGCAAAUGAGACCUUCUCCUGAUCAGUGCACUGAAGCAAAUCCAACUUCUUCUCUAUGGCAUGCAGCCAAUCACCAGCUUCAACAGGAUUAGUGGUACUAGAGAAAACAGGCGGCCUCACACGAAGAAAUUCUGCUAACUUAUUCUGAGGAGGUGCAUGGUUAUUUCCUUGGUUCUGCUGAUUCUGGAGUUGCUGCAUCAUCAUGUUCAUGAGUUGUGUCUGUUGAGCAAGAACUUGGGCAAGAGUGGGAUUCUCUCCAUUAUUGUUGUUAUUGGGGUUGUUAGGGCCAUUCCCAUUGCUGCGAGUGUUCACCAUCUGGCAUGGACAGGGCACAAGAAGAGAAACCGGGGGAAACUACUUAGGAUAGAGAAUUACUUUAACUUUUAUUGAUCUUAACUGAGUUUUAUUACAAACUGAAGACUCUCACACCACUAAACUCACCAACUUCCUCACACUCAAAAGCAAACAAACGCAUGCACUUACAUCCCACCACUGAUGUAAAUCACAUGCGAGACACACACAAGCAAACUUAAAACAAGCAAACUAACACAACGAUCUAAGACCACGACUUAACAAGUCACUCUAGUUCUUCUGAGCAUCGGAGGUCGAUUGAAGGCUCGUUCGGCUCGUCUUCAUCAUCUUGAGUUGCUACCCACUCAAUCUUGGAAUGGGUGCGCUUGGAUUCUUCAUCUUCAUCACUACUUAUGAUAAUGACCGGAGGAUCUGCUGGGGCAACUUCUUUCUCCACCACACGAACCUUUGGCGCCAAUUGAUAGCGAGGGACAAAUAGAGCUCUCUUCCUUGCGGUAAGACGAAUCCUGGCCUUCUGCGGCGGAGCUUCUCCCUUCAAUGCGGCUAAUUCCUUCUCCAAACGAUCCACCUUGUCUUCGAGCUUGCAAAUCUUACCACGAUUCCGGUCUUCACGAUCUUGAGCUGCUAACACAGUCUCCGCACGACUUUCAUCCAUAGCCCACAACAUCUCAACCAAAUGCCUUGUGGUAGCAUCAUUCUCAAUUCCUUCAGUCUCAAGGUAACUGCCACGGUCACUUCCCUGUGGUUGACGAGGAUGAUAGCGAUACUCAGUGUCGGCCAACUGAUCACUGUAGCGAUCACGGAGCUCUCCUAUGGCGAUCCUUGCCACUUCCUGACAUGCAUGGAUGUAGUUUCUUCCUCCAGCUUCGAACAUUACUGAGGGGACCUCUUCACUAUUGCUGUUCAAAGUAACUUUGACUCGGCACUUCUCUUCAUGACGAUCAUGAGGAAUCUGGGCAUAAAAAGGGGCAGUCCCAAAUCCAAUGACAAAGGACAUCGUACGCAACUCCUGGACAAAACCCUCAACACCAAACAAGUACUCAGGCUUGUAGCGCGGCAUCUAAAGACAAGUGAAAGGAGGGAGUUAAGACAUCUAUCCAAUUAACAGCACAAGUUUUUGGAUUAAUUUGAAUAAAGUUUAGAAAUCAAAAUAAACCAAACCUGCAGGAUAAGUUGAAACAGUUGGAAACAAGGUUACAAGCUUUGUGCUUUUGAGUAACAGGUUUUAAAAGAAAUAAAAGAAAGUUAUAAAAUCAACUUGCUAAAUCUAUUUUAUUGCAGCAAGAUUAAAUAAAACAACAUUGUAAAACUUUUGCUGGUAAAUGAGCCAUUGGUACAGUAAUAAAUGUACGGUACUAAUAACACUGGAAUAAAUUUUGAAUGAGAACCAUUAAAAGAGAUUAUGAAGUGCAUGUGCCAUUAGUUUGGUUUAAUUAAAAGAGAAAGGGAGGAGAACAGUUCUACUUUUCCAAUAUUUUUAGAAGGCUUCUAUGGGUAACCAUUUGGCAUAACCUAGGGUCAAGGGGGCUCUGAUACCAACUUGUCACGCCCGGAAUUUCUAUCCAAAAUUCCAAACGCUUACAUGUGUGUGAACCCUCGUCCAGGAAUCAGCCGAGGCACACAAUAACAAAUUGAUAAUAGAGUACAAUUAUUACUCUAAUUAAUAAGCGUAUAAAGUGUCAUUACAGAGGUAGAUAGUUCCUCUCAAACAAUAAAUAUCUAAGCAGCGGAAAAAGAAAUAAACGGCGCAGACGGCUCCACUCCACAUACCGAGGUGCGAGCUUCCCUUUUGUCUGAAACCUGUGCACACCUCGCAAUGGCGUGACCCGAAGGUAUACAAAAUCACCCACUGCGAAUUCCAGGUCACGGCGACGGUUAUCUGCAUAACUUUUCUGCCGAGACUGUGCCACCUUUAGAUUAUCCCGAAUGAUUCUGACUUUAGCUUCAGCUUCUCUCAGGAUAUCAGUCCCGAACACUUGGCUUUCUCCAACUUGGUCCCACAAGAGCGGUGUCCGGCAUUUGCGCCCGUACAACGCUUCAUAAGGUGCCAUUUGUAUGCUGGCUUGAUAACUGUUAUUGUAGGAGAAUUCGGCAUAGGGGAGACUCUUAUCCCAGGUCUUCCCGAAAUCUAGUACACAUGCGCGGAGCAUAUCUUCUAGGAUCUGAUUUAGAUGCUCGGUCUGUCCAUCUGUCUGCGGGUGAUACGCGGUGCUGAAAUUUAAUCGGGUUCCCAACUCUUCUUGGAGUUUCUUCCAAAAAUGAGAGGUGAAUUGGCUUCCCCUAUCAGAUACAAUUUUCUUGGGAACGCCAUGGAGACUCACGAUCCUAGCGAAGUAGAGCUCGGCUAGUUUGUUCCCUCCAUAGGUGGUCUUCACAGGAAUAAAUCGAGCUACCUUGGUUAAUCGAUCCACAACUACCCAUAUAGAAUCAUAUCCACCUUGGGUUUUUGGAAGUCCGGUGAUGAAAUCCAUCCCAAUUUCAUCCCAUUUCCAUUCUGGUACUUGGAGAGGUUGGAGAAGUCCGGCCGGUCGUUGGUGCUCUGCCUUGACACGCUGGCACACAUCACAAAGGGCCACGAACUCUGCAAUUUCCCGCUUCAUACUAACCCACCAGUAUUUCUCCUUCAAGUCUAAGUACAUCUUUGUACUGCCCGGGUGAAUGGAAUAAGGGCUCUCGUGAGCUUCCUGAAGUAUCAGCUGUUUGAGUUCUCGGUUAUCUGGAACGCAUACCCGCUUUCCGUUCCAUAGGGUUCCGUGUUCAUCCUCUGUGAAACCAGCGGCUUUACCCUGUUUCAUAUUCUUGAGGAGUCCAUGCAUGUCCGGAUCAUUCUUCUGAGCCUUGCGGAUUUGAUCGAGCAAGGUAGGCUUGGCUUCUAGCGCAGCCAAGAAUCCGCGACCAACUAUGCUUAGGUUCAGGGCUUCCAUCUGUUGAUUAAGUUCGGGUGGAAUGCCACGGACGUUAAGAGUGUUGCAAUGGCCCUUUCGACUUAGAGCGUCGGCAACCACGUUGGCCUUACCAGGAUGAUAGUGAAUUCCCACAUCAUAGUCCUUGAUGAGUUCUAACCAUCUCCUUUGCCGAAGAUUCAGAUCCGACUGGGUGAAGAUGUAUUUCAAACUCUUAUGAUCGGUAUAUAUUUCACAGCGAUUCCCAAUGAGAUAGUGCCGCCAGAUUUUUAGAGCAUGAACCACCGCGGCUAACUCCAAAUCAUGUGUAGGGUAGUUGCCUUCAUGAGGUCGCAGCUGACGUGAGGCAUAGGCUACCACAUGACCGUCCUGCAUGAGCACGCACCCCAAUCCUUGGCGCGAAGCGUCACAAUACACCAGGAAGUCCUUGCGAGUAUCCGGCAAGAUUAACACCGGCGAGGAAACCAGCUUUUCCUUGAGAGUUUGGAACGCCUUCUCGCAUUGCGGGCUCCACACAAAUUUCUCUUCUUUCUUCAACAACUGUGUCAUGGGUCGAGCGAUUUUGGAGAAGUUCUCGAUGAAUCUCCGGUAGUAUCCUGCCAAACCUAAGAAACUGCGGACUUGAGUAACUGUCUUGGGUUGCUUCCAAUCGGUGACGGUGGUCACUGUUUCGGGGUCCACAGAAACUCCUUUAGCAGAUAUCACGUGUCCUAAGAAUUUGACUUCGGACAGCCAGAACUCACACUUGCUAAGUUUGGCAUACAAUUGAUGUUCCCGCAGCUUUCCCAACACCAGACGGAGAUGGUGCUGAUGGUCUUCCUCUGAUUGUGAGUAUACCAGAAUGUCAUCAAUGAAAACCACAACAAACUUAUCCAAGUAUUCCAUGAACACUUUGUUCAUUAAGUUCAUGAAGAAGGCAGGUGCAUUGGUUAGGCCGAAUGACAUCACCGUGAAUUCAUACAGCCCGUAUCGCGUGGUGAAUGCGGUCUUCGGAAUAUCUUCUUCACGAAUACGUAAUUGGUGAUAUCCGGAACGAAGAUCAAUCUUGGAGAAUACAGUGGCACCUUUAAGCUGAUCGAACAGAUCAUCGAUCCGGGGAAGAGGGUACUUGUUUUUGAUGGUGACUUCAUUGAGAGCUCUGUAGUCAACGCACAUCCUCUUAGUCUUGUCUUUCUUCUCCACAAAAAUCACAGGAGCACCCCAGGGGGAAGUACUCGGACGUAUAUACCCCUUUUCUUUCAACUCUUCCAACUGUUUCUUUACUUCGGCCAGUUCAUUUGCUGCCAUACGGUAGGGUCGCUUGUGCAGAGGAGUGGUUCCUGGAGCAAGAUCUAUCCGGAACUCAAUCUCUCGCUUGGGCGGCAUACCGGGUAGUUCUUCCGGAAACACAUCUCCGAACUCCCUGACGAUGGGGAUUUCUGACAGUCCUAUCUGAUGCAGUUCUGAACUACUGACAGAGGUUGGGGGUGCAAAGAAAACAACCGGUUGUUCCGGCCCUCGGUACAGAGUGACAGUGCGCCUCGCGCAAUCCACUACUCCUUGGAAUUGAGCCAACCAAUUCAUCCCAAGGAUCACAUCCAAGUUCUUGGUGUCUAGCAGAAUCAGAUCCGAGGGAAAAGGAAUCCCCUGAAUUUCUAUAGGGACGGCAGGGCUAUAAUACUUUGCUGUCAUAACCCCUCCAGGGGUGGUGAUGAGCAGAGGGUUCCUAAGCCUUUCUACCCCCAACUGAUUUCUCCCCACGAAUGGCACAGAUAUAAACCAGUGGGAAGCUCCAGAGUCGAACAAAAUGGUAGCAGGGAUGGAAUGAACGAGGAACGUACCAACGAUGACGUCUGGAGUUGUCAGCACGUCCUCGGCCGUCACGUGAUUCACACGACCCCGAAUGACAUCCUUCCCACCGUUGUUGGAGUGGGGAGGCGCUUGGCCUUGCUGACGCCUUGGCUUCGGGCAUUUAUCCGCAAAGUGCCCGGGCUCGAAGCAGUUGAAGCACAGACGCUGCUGACCUUGAGCGUCCCUGCGGCCUUGACCAGACUGCACGGUUGGCGUAGGAGGACGGGGCGCACGAGUCCCUUGCUGAUUCUGCUGCUGCUGCGGCUGUGGGACGCGCACCACGAAUUGAGGUCGCGGCGCGGAGCGAGGUUGCUGCUGCUGUUGUUGCUGUUGCGAGGAGGAUCCCCCUGGAUAGGGGUUGGUGUAGCGGACCCUUUGGUUAGCACCCUGUUGAUUGCGGAAAUUCGCCAAGCGGCGCUUGUGCGACUCCAGUUCCUUGUGCUUUGUCGCGUCCCAAAACGACUCUAAAAUACAUCCUCGAAAUUGUGCCGAGAAUAAUUAAAAUUCAUGUGAAAGCCUCCAACAAUUAAAAUGUGCAAAUAUAAAAGUCAAAUAAGGCUUGGAGGAUUUUUGUAUAUUUCCUAAAAGCCUAAAAUGCGUAAAUAAAUUUUAGUGGAAUUUUCAGAGCACAAAUAAUAAUUGAGAAGAAAUAAACAAAGUUAAAAAGGUUUUAUAAAAAGAAAAACCCUAAAAGAAGUCCUUUUCCCCCCCUUCCUCUCUUGGGCCGGCCCGGCCCAACUCCCUCCCUCUCUCUCCUCUCCCCCGCGGCCCAUCGGCCUCCUCCCCGCGCGCGCGCCGCUGACGGGCGGGCCCGCCCGCCACCCUCGCUGACGGGUGGGGCCCACCUGUCAUCGCCUACCUCGCGCCGCGCCCGCCGCCGCCCGUGCCCUAGCGCCGCCGCCGCCGCCGAAUCCGCCGCAUCCCGCCGUCCCCGCGCGCCAUAAAGAGGGGGAAAUCACUCCCCGUGAUUCCCUCCCUCUUUCCCCCCACUUUCCCCUCUCUCUCUCCCUCGGAUUCGCUCGGAUUUAAUCCCGCAAAGUUCGCCGGCGCAUCAAUGGAGCCCGAGAUCGCCGCGCCGGUUUCCUUCCUCCCCGGCCGCCCUCUCUCGCUCCCGUCCCUAUAUAAUUGUUCCCCGUGCCUCACUCCUCCGUUUCCGCCACUCGCCGCUCGCUCUUUCCGUCGGAUUCGUGCUCGCGCCGUUGUACUCUCUCUCCGCCGUCGCCGCCGAGCUCCGGUUCGCCGCCGUCGUCGCUCCGGACCUCCUCCCGUCUCGGCGUCACCUCCUUCGGCUUCGCCGCAUCCCCGUCAACCUCGUCCACCCCUUCGUUUCGCCCGCCGACCGUCGGAGCGCCGCCGUCCUCGUCGAUCCGAACCGCGCCGCCGUCUUCCUCCGCUCCGAUCGUCGUCUCCGCCGCCCUCGUCGUCCCGGGGUGAGCCGAGGACCGCCGUUCGCUUUCCCCCUUCCCUCCUCUCUCUCGGGUGCCGCUCCGCCGCGCCGUUGGUCGCCGGCGGCGACCAUCGGGGCGCGGGCGCGCCGCCUCCCGUCGGCCGUGCCGGCAAGGCCGCCUUCGGGCGCGCCCCGCAGCUGCCAGGUGGGGCCCGGCCGUCAGCCGCCCGCGCCCGCGGGUGCGGCUGACGCGUGGGACCCACGGCGCCGGCCGGCGUCAGCCGCGUGCGCCCGGUCCACCGUGGACCGAGAGGCUGACGCGUGGGCCCCACUCCCGUGGACCCGGUCCGCGCGCCCUCUCUCCCGGCUGACGCAAUAAAUCCGAUUUUUAAUUAAAAUUUAAAUGAAGAAAUUCGCAAAUAUCCAUUUAAAGAGCAUAUAAACUUCAAAUGGCCAUAACUUGGCCAUUUGAACUCGGAAUUGGACCGUUCAAGUCUCUAAUUUUUCCUUAAGAAGUCAAGAACCCAUUUUUGUGCUUUGUUUCUGCUGUUAUAUGGAGUUGAUUAGAGUAAAAGCCUUUUCUUUUCCGUUGGUCGUGUAGACGCUGCAGCUUCGGAAGAUCCGCUCUUCGUGGAAGUUGAAGCCGACGUUUGGGAAAGCGAGCAAGGCAAGUCACAUCAUCUUUGAACAUAUUGAAUCCCAGUUUAUAAAAUUAUGUUGAUUUAAAUUAUUGCAUUAUCGCUUUAUUUAAAUUCCCGCGUUAUCACUGUUUUAUUUAGCCAUGCCUAUUUACCUUUGUUAUGACCUUAUUAUUAUUGUUAUUGUUAUUAUUACCUUGUUCACCCUAGAACAAACAAAACCCCAACUAGUGGACACUCUACUCAUGGCACCACUAGUUUAGUUUUAGGUAGAUGCUUCGCAAUUUAAUUAGGUAACAUUAGGUGGUUUUUCAACUAUAGACUUUGGGAAAUAUUCAUAUCAUCUGGAUACUAUGGAAUGGUUUGGUUACUGUGGAAUUGGCUUCACACCGCUCCUUCUAUUCAAAAUCCCCAAAAUGGUUUUAGGCUGGGCUCGGGGUGCAUGGUUUUGAUAGUAGCACCUCGGCCAUAUAAGGACCGGUCUUCGGGCCUCUGUUGCAAAGCACUACCGUACUUCCACAUGUCUAGUGGGUAAGGCUUAGUUUGUGGCUCAGUCUGGUUAUAAACAAAAGUACACGGAUUGGAGAUGGAUGAAGUCGGGGGUCGAUAGACAUUCUCCAGGGCAAAUGAAGGCUACACGAGCUGCGGCCCGGUAGUCGAGAUGUCAUGGCACAGGGCCGGUGUCCUGCUGCUAGGGGCUCAGUCCUGCCUGCCUGUCCCGGGGGUUCCGGCCGUAGGUGGGAUUGGGUCGGUACUCUUGUCUAUGGCUAGGAUGGGUUGGAAACUAUGUCACGUCUUCCGUCUGUAUACCGUGGUGGUAUGUGGCACGUGGUUGCACGUGAGGAAGAUGUGUCUUGUGGGUAAAGAUGUACACCUCUGAUCAGAGUAUAAUCUAUUCGAAUAGCCGCGCCCUCGGUUAUGGGCAAGCCGAGCAAUGUACCCAAGUUAGUGUUUUAAUUCUUAAAACCUGCUUAUCAACUAAAAUGUGGAAUAGUUGGCCUGGGUUGUGUCACGUCCUGAUAAAUUCAUCCCGAAAUAAAAUUCAUUCGCUAAAAGGAAUAAUAGAAUUAAUUAAAAUUCGAAAAGAAAUUGGCAAACACUAAAAUACGUACAAGAAAAAUUCGAAUGUGGCCCGGAGAAUUUUUGUUAAAUUCUCCUUGGUCUAAAACGAGCCCUCAAAUUUUACUUGAAUUUUCAGAGCGCCGGAAAUAAUUAUUAAACAACAACAACAAUUAACAAAGUUUAUUAAAAAGAAAAUCUAAAAAUAACCCUCCUUCCUCCUUUGGGCCAAGCCCAGCCCAAAAGUCCUUCUCUCCUCCCUCUCUUUCUCUCCCUCCCCUUCUCUCCCUCUCUCUCCCGGGCCUCUCUUCCCCUCCCGGGCAGCCCACUCCCUCCUCUCCUCCUCCUUCUGGGCCGCCCCUCCCUCCUCUCCUUCCCGGCCCAUCUUCUCUCCCUCCCCUCCUCCUGGGCCGCCUCGGCUUCGCCCGGCCCAAGCCGAGCCGCGCUCCCACCCGUGCCGCGCACGUGCGCGUGCGUGCGCGCCGUUGCCGCGUGUCGGCCGCGCGCCCGACCGCGUGGGGCCCACGCGUCAGGCCGCCGUCGCCUUCUUCCUCCUCCGCCCGGCCACCUCUCUCUCUCUUCCCGUGGAACCCUAAUCCCUUCCUCCCUCAAAUCCACGCGAAUCAAUGCCCUUCUUUCCAAAUUGAAUAGGGGAAAUUAAACCCCAUUGAAUCCUCUUCAAUUCCCCCUUAAUUCCCCCUUGAACGGCGCCCCCAAUCGCCGGGAACGGACGCGCCAAGUCCGGCCGCCUUCCUUUGCCGCCGGCCGCCAUUCCCGUCGCCGUUCCCGCUCCUCCCGUGGCCGGCUCUCUCCCCCAUCCUAUAAAAUGGGAUCCUCAUCCCCCGUUCUACCGUUUUAGCCUCUUCCCGAGCUCUCCCGUGGUCUCUAGCCACCUCCCCACCGUCGCCCCCUCUCUCCCACGUUGCCGGCCGGCCUCCAGCCGCCUCUCCCGCCUCGCCGGAGCGUCUUCCGGCCGCGCCGUCGCCUCCUCCAGCAUCGCAGCCGCCUCCUCUCCCACGGCCUACCCUCCGUUUCGCGCGGUGACCGCCGGAGGCGCGUUCCCGCCGUCGCCCUCCCCUUUCCCUCGCGCCGGCCACCUCCAGCCGCCUUCCUCUCCUCGCCCGAGCGCCGCCCGGCCGCGCCGUCUUCUCCCUCGGCCUCGCAGCUGCCCCCUCUCCCUCGGUCAGCCCUCCGUUUCGCGGGGAAAUCACCGGAGACGCGCCCUCGCCGGCGUCCAGUGGCGUCGCCACCACUUCUCCGCCUCCGGCCGCCUCUGCCACGUCCCCGGAGCGCCGGCCGACGUCGCCACCACCUUCCUCGGCUCCACGACGCCGCUCUCAUCCCCGGCAUCACCUCCUCCUCGCCCGAACUUCGCCGGAACGCCGUCGUCUCCGCGCCGGCCUCUCCUUCCUCCUCGUCGGCUCGUCGCCCCGCUGCACCACCACCUUCACCAACGUCGCAGCGGCGUGUUCCACGCUGUCCCCUCCUCCUCUCAGCCGCUGCUGCCUGCCAUCAUCGUCGUCUCCGAUCGUUCUCGCCGUCGACGUCCCGUCGGUCGCCCGGCUCGUCGUCUCGCGGCGCCGCCUCCGUCAUCGUCAUCGUAGCGGCGUGUUCCACGCCAUCCUCACCGCCGUGCAGCCGCUGCUGGCUGCCCUCGUAGCCUCCUCGCCGGCCCCGGUCGUCGUCGUCCUCGUCCUCUCGUCGUUCCCGAUCGUCGGGGCGUUCGUCCCUCCGUCAAGCCGUUCUCGUUCGUCGUCCUCGCUUCGUCAAGGUCGCUGCAGCCCCCGUCAUCGUCUUCGUCCUCGCCUCCGCGUCGUCAAGCCUCGCGCCGGCCGCGUCUCGCCUUCGUCCAAGGAUCGCCGCCGAAGCCGUCCCCUCGCCGUUCGCCUCCGUUGUGCCCGUCUGUCUCCGCCGCGCCCGUUCGUCGUUGUCGUUCCCGCGCCUCGUCGCGUGGUGGUAAGGUUCCCUCUCCCUCGCUGCCCUGUCCUCGUCCUUUCGGUGUCGCCCAUGCCCGUUGUGCGGUUGUCGGCCCCGGUACCCGUGUAUCGGCGUCGGCAGUCGUUCGCGUGUGCGGGUGGUGACCGUGUGGUGUCUAGUGGAGUCCGUUUGUCGGCCACUCGCUUCGGUUGACACACGGGGUCCGCUUCCGUCGACCCGUGGACCGUCUCUGUGUACUCGGUCUGCCGCGGUCCUUUAGGUUGACAUGUGGGGUCCGCAUGUCAACGGCGCAGCCUUCCUGUCUUUUCCAGGCUAGCGCUUACACCUGUUUUAUAGUUGCAAAACUUGAUUAUAAUAAUCCGCAAAUCUCCAUAUAACAGCAUUAAACUUCGGAUGAUCAUAUCUCGGUCAUACGAACUCUGAAUCGACCCGUUCAAGUCUCCUAAUGUUUGUUAUAACCUAAAGAACCCUGUGCUUUCUUUUUAUGUAUUGUUAUUGCUUCUUUAUAGGCUUGUAGCUUUGCUUGUGUGCUUCGCGUAGCUUUCGUCGUUCCGGAGGUUCCCGAAGCGUGGUUCGUGGUCGUCGCCGAAGGUUCGGAAGGCCGUUCUCUCUGAGCAAGGCAAGUCACAUCAUCCUUGAGCAUAUUGAAUCCCAGUUUAUAAAAUUAUUUUGAUUUAAAUUAAUGCAUUAUCGCUUUAUUUAAAUUCCCGCGUUAUCACUGUUUUAUUUAGCCAAGCCUAUUUACCUUUGUUAUGACAUUAUUAUUGCUAUUGUUAUUAUUAUUACCUUGUUCACCCUAGAUUAAACAAAACCUCAACUAGUGGGUACUCUAUUCAUGGUUCCACUAGUAUAAAUUUAGGUAGAUGCUUCGCUGAAUAAUUAGGCAACAUUAGGUGGUUUUAUAACUUUAGACUUUGGGAGUUCUCAUAUCAUUUGGACACUAUGGAAUUGUUGAAUUAUGGUGGAAUUGGACACACACCUCUCUUCCUCUUUCAAAACCCCUAAAACCUGUUUUCGGUGGGGUUUGGGUGCAUGCCAGUUGUGGGAAGUAGCACCCCGGCCACUAUAAGGACUAAAGCUCGGGCCUCUGUUGCAAAGCACUACCGUACUUCCACAUGUCUAAUGGGUAAGGCUUAGUUUGUGGCUCAGUCUAGUCAUAAACAAAAGUACACGGAUUGGAGAUGGAUGAAGUCGGGCGUCGAUGGACAUUCUCCAGGGCAAAUGAAGGCUACACGAGCUGCGGCCCGGUAGUCGAGAUGUCAUACGGCGGAGGGUUGGUGCCCAAUGCUAGGGGCUCAGUUCUGCCUGCCUGUCCCGGGUAUCCCGGCCGUAGGUAGGAUUGGGUCGGUACUCUUGUCUAAGGCUAGGAUGGGUUGGAAACUAUGUCACAUCUUUACGACGGGUUCCAAGGCCAUGGAAUGCGGAGUAAAGAUGUGUCUUGUGGGUAAAGAUGUACACCUCUGAUCAGAGUAAAUCUAUUCGAAUAGCCGAGCCCUCGGAUAUGGGCAAGCCUAGCAAUGUACCCAAGUCAGUGUUUUAAUUCUUAAAAUUUGCUCAACAACUAAAAUAUGGAAUGGUUGGCCUGGGUUGGCUUGGGACGAGCUGGGACCCAGGGUCGGGUUGCCAGUUCGGUCUGAAUCAUCGUAGGCCUUGGGUUAAGGCAGGUUCGUGAGGGUUCACGGCCUUGUUUAAUAAUACUGUGUAGUUCUAUGAUCGUCUUUACAAAAUGGCUUUGGGCAACUAAGUGACUUUUAAAUGCUGUUUACUGCAAACCUUAAUCCCUAUAUUAUUAUUCCCUUGUACCUCCCUUGCAUUAAUUAUGCAUCUGCCGGUGUGGCUUGCUGAGUACUGUGGUUGUACUCAUUCUUGCUCAAUCUUUCCCCCCCUUCAGUAAGAGAAGCUUUGGAGAAGAUGUCUUAGGUGGAGUCCUGGCUUAUACCCCAGUUGAGCGCCUGUGAAGAUGGAGCCGUAGGCCGCUAGUCCGCUGCUGUUUAUUUUUGCUUGUCAGGCCUGAAGUGCCUUUGUAAUAAUGUAAAUAUUAUCGAUAUAAUAAAGAUGUGUCUUCUAUAUCAUGUUUGUGUGGUGUACCCCGGCUUUUCCUGGGACGGGGAUUAAUACACUGGCGUUCGGGAAAAGGCAAUUUUCCCGGUCGCGACAAGCUGGUAUCAGAGCCAUCUCGACUGUAGGAUAAGCCAAGUGGAUAAAACCCAAGGACAUAUUUUAUAAAUAAAAAUUAUUUGCGAAAGUUCCUUUUUCUCCUUCCCCUAAUGCUAUUUGCAAAAGGUUUACUCCGUUCUUCCUUCUUCGGAUUUUCAACUAGUACUAGAUGGUCAGCUUUGCGAGGAAGAAGAUGUCGUCAGUUGUUUGCCGAAGCUCCGGAAGACUGCAGGAUCCGCUAGCGAAGCGAAGGAAGCAAUGAAGCCAGCUGUGAAGGAGUGAAGAUCUUGGGAACCCGUCGCAGAACCUAAGCCACCCUAUAGGGUAGUGUUGUUAGUCGUGUGUUCCUUGCUUGUGUGUGUAGCGCGUGGUUUGCAUCGGUGGGUGGUGAUGUAACCAUGCUAGGUUGUUUGCUUAAUCAACUUGCAGAAUAAGUGAAACAAACAACACAUCAACAAAAAGAGUUAGUUCCUUUAAGGUCUUGUCCCUAGUUCUGGUCUAUUCUUUCCUUGUAUGCUUCCCCUCUCAACCCCUACCUUGUGACAGAUGGAUAAUACUGGUAACAAAGGCUAUGGGAAUGAUGGAUCCGAUGACGCAAGAACCCAAGCCAAUGGGAAUGAGAGAAGCACCAACGAAACCUCACCAGAGCUAAUCCAAGUUGUGGUUAACCAAACCAACAUGUUGGCAACAGCCUUUCAACUAUUACAGAAUUGGAGCAGCCCAGCAGGGACAACCAACGUUCAAGUGCCUACAGUCCGGCAACAGUGCAAGUUAUCAGAAUUUCUCAAAACUGAGCCUCCAACCUUUGCCAUUGCCGUCGAUCCUAUGGAAGCCAGUGAUUGGUUGCGCACAAUCGAGAAGAAGCUAGGGUUGAUUCAGUGCACCGACCAGGAGCGGGUUGGCUUCGCAACUCAUCAGUUGGUUGGACCGGCUUCAGAGUGGUGGGAUAGCUACGAAGCAUCACGGCCAGAAGGACAUACCAUCACCUGGAACGAGUUUUCAUCUGUAUUCAAGAGACCACAUGUUCCCGCAGGAAUGAUCACACUAAGAAAACGAGAGUUUCGCUACCUGAAGCAAGGAGAUUUGACCGUCACAGAGUACCUGCACGAGUUCUAUCGUUUGGCUCGCUAUGCACCAGAAGAUGUGGAAACGGAUGAAGACAAACAAGAGAAGUUUCUCCAGGGGUUAAAAGAUGAGCUUGCAGUGCAACUACUCCUAGAGGAUUAUGAAGAUUUUGAGAAACUUGUGGACAAAGCCAUGCAACUCGAAAGUGAGCAUAAUCGGAUGACGAACUGCAAGAGAAGGAUUGUCAACAUCCCAGUAAUUCCAUGUGGUAACCAAAGACAGCGCACUGAGCCACUUCAGAUCACCGGAUCUUCUGUUGUGCAUCAAGAGUUCCUGCCCCAAGAAGACGGACGCAAUACAGACAACAACCCUAGCAAUACUAAUGGUGAUGAUACCACCAACAACCAUGGUUCUUGCCCCAUUAGUGACCACUCGAAUCAAGCGUGCAAUUUUGACACUGAGAAAGACUCCAAUUGUGAUAGCAACUACGGUACCACUGAUGCCAAUGUUAGCAAGGAUUUCCAACCACCAAUUCCAACUCCUAGUCAGAACGAUCGUUCCCAGACGGACAACUCAGCAAAGAAGACGUUGAUUUGUUACAACUGCAAAGAACCAGGUCAUUUCUCCAGAGAUUGUCCACAGCCGAAGCGUAACCUGCGCCAUCACUCCGGCCAUUAUGCAAGAAGAAGACAAGUCACUCGCCUUGUGGUCACUGGAGCAAACGCCGUACCUGUGAGGCCUCAUGUUAAUUCUAACCCAUAGUAGAAACAAUGUACCGAUGUUAAGUACCGUCCCUUUUUGUUUAAGACAGUGCCUUGUAUUCAUGUAAUAUGGGAGAAAUUGGUAAUAAAAACAAGUUCUAAGAGGAUUCUUUCGGAAGAUGCGGAUAUGUGAUCAUGUGUAUAAUUGUUUACUGACAAAGGAGACCUAGGGUCUCGUGCCAGAGGAACUAUAUUCUAACCUCGAGCUAAUAACCAACCUGAGGAUGGAAAAGAAAAUCAGGUGAUUAACCAAAGAGACAUUUGUUUGGACUAAGAGUUUCAGAUGUGUCUUUUCCGGAUCAAAGGCAAUGACAGUCAGUGUAGCUUUUGGCGAAACACUUCAAGGUUUCACUGAAAGGUAGCAGACCAAAGGACCUCCUCGCCACCAGAAGCAUCCACAACUCUCGGAGUGAAGAGUACUUAGUGACCAAGGUCAAAAGAUGACUGAUAGAAGAUAUCGAAAAAGAUGUUUAUUACCAGGCAAAGAAGUAGGUCGAAAGGUGAUUAAUAAGAGAAAUCGGGAAAGAACACAUCAAGGGCAAAGGUGUAAAGGAAUACGUUGAAUGCUAAAUGAUGACAAGUUAUGACAAGCAUGGUAUCUUAGUAAAGACGAGCUGAUCUCGACGCAUGACAUGAAGUGGGUAACUUGUAUGAGGUUGACUCCAAAGAUAUGAACUAUGCAAAGUUCUGGAACUGAAGCCCCAUCUUCAAGUGCCGCAACCCAGUCGAAGUCAGCUAAAGGUUCAACCAGGGACAAGUCAGGUGAAGAGAAGAUUCCAUCUGCAACAGGAGAUCGAGCCAAGCAGUCCAGAGUGAAGAAGUGUUGUUAGGCAAGUUUGUUAUAGAAGACGGAGCGGAAGAAGUCAGACAAGAAGAGAAGACCGCCCAACCUAUCUUCUUGCUAGCCUCCUCGAAUCUCGGGGACGAGAUUCUUGUAAGGGGGGUGGAUUUGUCACGUCCUGAUAAAUUCAUCCCGAAAUAAAAUUCAUUCGCUAAAAGGAAUAAUAGAAUUAAUUAAAAUUCGAAAAGAAAUUGGCAAACACUAAAAUACGUACAAGAAAAAUUCGAAUGUGGCCCGGAGAAUUUUUGUUAAAUUCUCCUUGGUCUAAAACGAGCCCUCAAAUUUUACUUGAAUUUUCAGAGCGCCGGAAAUAAUUAUUAAACAACAACAACAAUUAACAAAGUUUAUUAAAAAGAAAAUCUAAAAAUAACCCUCCUUCCUCCUUUGGGCCAAGCCCAGCCCAAAAGUCCUUCUCUCCUCCCUCUCUUUCUCUCCCUCCCCUUCUCUCCCUCUCUCUCCCGGGCCUCUCUUCCCCUCCCGGGCAGCCCACUCCCUCCUCUCCUCCUCCUUCUGGGCCGCCCCUCCCUCCUCUCCUUCCCGGCCCAUCUUCUCUCCCUCCCCUCCUCCUGGGCCGCCUCGGCUUCGCCCGGCCCAAGCCGAGCCGCGCUCCCACCCGUGCCGCGCACGUGCGCGUGCGUGCGCGCCGUUGCCGCGUGUCGGCCGCGCGCCCGACCGCGUGGGGCCCACGCGUCAGGCCGCCGUCGCCUUCUUCCUCCUCCGCCCGGCCACCUCUCUCUCUCUUCCCGUGGAACCCUAAUCCCUUCCUCCCUCAAAUCCACGCGAAUCAAUGCCCUUCUUUCCAAAUUGAAUAGGGGAAAUUAAACCCCAUUGAAUCCUCUUCAAUUCCCCCUUAAUUCCCCCUUGAACGGCGCCCCCAAUCGCCGGGAACGGACGCGCCAAGUCCGGCCGCCUUCCUUUGCCGCCGGCCGCCAUUCCCGUCGCCGUUCCCGCUCCUCCCGUGGCCGGCUCUCUCCCCCAUCCUAUAAAAUGGGAUCCUCAUCCCCCGUUCUACCGUUUUAGCCUCUUCCCGAGCUCUCCCGUGGUCUCUAGCCACCUCCCCACCGUCGCCCCCUCUCUCCCACGUUGCCGGCCGGCCUCCAGCCGCCUCUCCCGCCUCGCCGGAGCGUCUUCCGGCCGCGCCGUCGCCUCCUCCAGCAUCGCAGCCGCCUCCUCUCCCACGGCCUACCCUCCGUUUCGCGCGGUGACCGCCGGAGGCGCGUUCCCGCCGUCGCCCUCCCCUUUCCCUCGCGCCGGCCACCUCCAGCCGCCUUCCUCUCCUCGCCCGAGCGCCGCCCGGCCGCGCCGUCUUCUCCCUCGGCCUCGCAGCUGCCCCCUCUCCCUCGGUCAGCCCUCCGUUUCGCGGGGAAAUCACCGGAGACGCGCCCUCGCCGGCGUCCAGUGGCGUCGCCACCACUUCUCCGCCUCUGGCCGCCUCUGCCACGUCCCCGGAGCGCCGGCCGACGUCGCCACCACCUUCCUCGGCUCCACGACGCCGCUCUCAUCCCCGGCAUCACCUCCUCCUCGCCCGAACUUCGCCGGAACGCCGUCGUCUCCGCGCCGGCCUCUCCUUCCUCCUCGUCGGCUCGUCGCCCCGCUGCACCACCACCUUCACCAACGUCGCAGCGGCGUGUUCCACGCUGUCCCCUCCUCCUCUCAGCCGCUGCUGCCUGCCAUCAUCGUCGUCUCCGAUCGUUCUCGCCGUCGACGUCCCGUCGGUCGCCCGGCUCGUCGUCUCGCGGCGCCGCCUCCGUCAUCGUCAUCGUAGCGGCGUGUUCCACGCCAUCCUCACCGCCGUGCAGCCGCUGCUGGCUGCCCUCGUAGCCUCCUCGCCGGCCCCGGUCGUCGUCGUCCUCGUCCUCUCGUCGUUCCCGAUCGUCGGGGCGUUCGUCCCUCCGUCAAGCCGUUCUCGUUCGUCGUCCUCGCUUCGUCAAGGUCGCUGCAGCCCCCGUCAUCGUCUUCGUCCUCGCCUCCGCGUCGUCAAGCCUCGCGCCGGCCGCGUCUCGCCUUCGUCCAAGGAUCGCCGCCGAAGCCGUCCCCUCGCCGUUCGCCUCCGUUGUGCCCGUCUGUCUCCGCCGCGCCCGUUCGUCGUUGUCGUUCCCGCGCCUCGUCGCGUGGUGGUAAGGUUCCCUCUCCCUCGCUGCCCUGUCCUCGUCCUUUCGGUGUCGCCCAUGCCCGUUGUGCGGUUGUCGGCCCCGGUACCCGUGUAUCGGCGUCGGCAGUCGUUCGCGUGUGCGGGUGGUGACCGUGUGGUGUCUAGUGGAGUCCGUUUGUCGGCCACUCGCUUCGGUUGACACACGGGGUCCGCUUCCGUCGACCCGUGGACCGUCUCUGUGUACUCGGUCUGCCGCGGUCCUUUAGGUUGACAUGUGGGGUCCGCAUGUCAACGGCGCAGCCUUCCUGUCUUUUCCAGGCUAGCGCUUACACCUGUUUUAUAGUUGCAAAACUUGAUUAUAAUAAUCCGCAAAUCUCCAUAUAACAGCAUUAAACUUCGGAUGAUCAUAUCUCGGUCAUACGAACUCUGAAUCGACCCGUUCAAGUCUCCUAAUGUUUGUUAUAACCUAAAGAACCCUGUGCUUUCUUUUUAUGUAUUGUUAUUGCUUCUUUAUAGGCUUGUAGCUUUGCUUGUGUGCUUCGCGUAGCUUUCGUCGUUCCGGAGGUUCCCGAAGCGUGGUUCGUGGUCGUCGCCGAAGGUUCGGAAGGCCGUUCUCUCUGAGCAAGGCAAGUCACAUCAUCCUUGAGCAUAUUGAAUCCCAGUUUAUAAAAUUAUUUUGAUUUAAAUUAAUGCAUUAUCGCUUUAUUUAAAUUCCCGCGUUAUCACUGUUUUAUUUAGCCAAGCCUAUUUACCUUUGUUAUGACAUUAUUAUUGCUAUUGUUAUUAUUAUUACCUUGUUCACCCUAGAUUAAACAAAACCUCAACUAGUGGGUACUCUAUUCAUGGUUCCACUAGUAUAAAUUUAGGUAGAUGCUUCGCUGAAUAAUUAGGCAACAUUAGGUGGUUUUAUAACUUUAGACUUUGGGAGUUCUCAUAUCAUUUGGACACUAUGGAAUUGUUGAAUUAUGGUGGAAUUGGACACACACCUCUCUUCCUCUUUCAAAACCCCUAAAACCUGUUUUCGGUGGGGUUUGGGUGCAUGCCAGUUGUGGGAAGUAGCACCCCGGCCACUAUAAGGACUAAAGCUCGGGCCUCUGUUGCAAAGCACUACCGUACUUCCACAUGUCUAAUGGGUAAGGCUUAGUUUGUGGCUCAGUCUAGUCAUAAACAAAAGUACACGGAUUGGAGAUGGAUGAAGUCGGGCGUCGAUGGACAUUCUCCAGGGCAAAUGAAGGCUACACGAGCUGCGGCCCGGUAGUCGAGAUGUCAUACGGCGGAGGGUUGGUGCCCAAUGCUAGGGGCUCAGUUCUGCCUGCCUGUCCCGGGUAUCCCGGCCGUAGGUAGGAUUGGGUCGGUACUCUUGUCUAAGGCUAGGAUGGGUUGGAAACUAUGUCACAUCUUUACGACGGGUUCCAAGGCCAUGGAAUGCGGAGUAAAGAUGUGUCUUGUGGGUAAAGAUGUACACCUCUGAUCAGAGUAAAUCUAUUCGAAUAGCCGAGCCCUCGGAUAUGGGCAAGCCUAGCAAUGUACCCAAGUCAGUGUUUUAAUUCUUAAAAUUUGCUCAACAACUAAAAUAUGGAAUGGUUGGCCUGGGUUGGCUUGGGACGAGCUGGGACCCAGGGUCGGGUUGCCAGUUCGGUCUGAAUCAUCGUAGGCCUUGGGUUAAGGCAGGUUCGUGAGGGUUCACGGCCUUGUUUAAUAAUACUGUGUAGUUCUAUGAUCGUCUUUACAAAAUGGCUUUGGGCAACUAAGUGACUUUUAAAUGCUGUUUACUGCAAACCUUAAUCCCUAUAUUAUUAUUCCCUUGUACCUCCCUUGCAUUAAUUAUGCAUCUGCCGGUGUGGCUUGCUGAGUACUGUGGUUGUACUCAUUCUUGCUCAAUCUUUCCCCCCCUUCAGUAAGAGAAGCUUUGGAGAAGAUGUCUUAGGUGGAGUCCUGGCUUAUACCCCAGUUGAGCGCCUGUGAAGAUGGAGCCGUAGGCCGCUAGUCCGCUGCUGUUUAUUUUUGCUUGUCAGGCCUGAAGUGCCUUUGUAAUAAUGUAAAUAUUAUCGAUAUAAUAAAGAUGUGUCUUCUAUAUCAUGUUUGUGUGGUGUACCCCGGCUUUUCCUGGGACGGGGAUUAAUACACUGGCGUUCGGGAAAAGGCAAUUUUCCCGGUCGCGACAAGCUGGUAUCAGAGCCAUCUCGACUGUAGGAUAAGCCAAGUGGAUAAAACCCAAGGACAUAUUUUAUAAAUAAAAAUUAUUUGCGAAAGUUCCUUUUUCUCCUUCCCCUAAUGCUAUUUGCAAAAGGUUUACUCCGUUCUUCCUUCUUCGGAUUUUCAACUAGUACUAGAUGGUCAGCUUUGCGAGGAAGAAGAUGUCGUCAGUUGUUUGCCGAAGCUCCGGAAGACUGCAGGAUCCGCUAGCGAAGCGAAGGAAGCAAUGAAGCCAGCUGUGAAGGAGUGAAGAUCUUGGGAACCCGUCGCAGAACCUAAGCCACCCUAUAGGGUAGUGUUGUUAGUCGUGUGUUCCUUGCUUGUGUGUGUAGCGCGUGGUUUGCAUCGGUGGGUGGUGAUGUAACCAUGCUAGGUUGUUUGCUUAAUCAACUUGCAGAAUAAGUGAAACAAACAACACAUCAACAAAAAGAGUUAGUUCCUUUAAGGUCUUGUCCCUAGUUCUGGUCUAUUCUUUCCUUGUAUGCUUCCCCUCUCAACCCCUACCUUGUGACAGAUGGAUAAUACUGGUAACAAAGGCUAUGGGAAUGAUGGAUCCGAUGACGCAAGAACCCAAGCCAAUGGGAAUGAGAGAAGCACCAACGAAACCUCACCAGAGCUAAUCCAAGUUGUGGUUAACCAAACCAACAUGUUGGCAACAGCCUUUCAACUAUUACAGAAUUGGAGCAGCCCAGCAGGGACAACCAACGUUCAAGUGCCUACAGUCCGGCAACAGUGCAAGUUAUCAGAAUUUCUCAAAACUGAGCCUCCAACCUUUGCCAUUGCCGUCGAUCCUAUGGAAGCCAGUGAUUGGUUGCGCACAAUCGAGAAGAAGCUAGGGUUGAUUCAGUGCACCGACCAGGAGCGGGUUGGCUUCGCAACUCAUCAGUUGGUUGGAACGGCUCCACCAGACGCGGCGACGCUUGGGGCGGCAGACCUCUCCCUGGGCGAUCUUGAGCUGAUGCAGCUGCGCCUCCACCGCGUCUAGGUCCUUCUUGAGCUGCAGGUUCUCCUGACGCAGCUCCAGGAUCUUCAUGUUGUUCUCGACCAUCCCACGGCGUACCAUCUGGUGGAAGUCGAUACGAGCCGCGUCGUACGCCUCCACCAUGCGCGCCAGGUGCACGAUGGUAGCGUCAUCCUCCGAGCUAGCAUCCCGGAAGGUGGCGUAGUCGCGGGCUCCUCCGCGACGAGGGUGGUAGCGGUAGGGCGAGUGCUGCAACUCGUCCGGGUAGCGCUGGUGAAGAGUGCCGAUAGCGAGGAGAGCGGCGUUCUGGCAAGCGGCGGGGAAGGAAUCUCCACCCGCGGUGACUGCCAGCGAAGUCCGCUCGGGAGAGCCAGACAGGAUCACUGCAGUGACCUCCCAACCAGCGUGGGGCUCUGCAUCGUCACCCUCCUGCUCCGGAAGCGGCCUGGCCUGGUAGUCCACUCCAUGUGGAUACCCCAAGACCACGCACAUGCCCCGCAGCUCCAAGACGAAGCCAGUCAUGUCCAAACCACGACGGGUGACGCUGCUGGCCAUCUACAAACAAAAACAAAAAGAAAAACAACAUUUUAAAGGUCAGAUUUUGGCGAUAAAUGAAGCAGCAAGACAGAGAGAGACUAGACAGUUUUCACAAAUAACAAAAGAUUUUUAUUUUUGAAAAUAUUGCUAAGGCUUGGGAUCUACGGCUCGUCCUAGGGUCAACGGUGGCUCUGAUACCAACUUGUCACGACCGGAAAUAACCCAACGGGCGUUCCUGACGUGCGUGCAUUAAUCCUUGUCCCAGGAGGCAAGGUACACCAAAAGUUGAUACAAUUCAGAGUUUAACAAGCGGAAGCGUAAAUAGUUAACUUAUUACAUGGGCAGCGAAGGCCCAGCACACACAGAGACAAACGAGAAACAGCGGAAGACUAGGGCGACGACCACAGGCGCUUGACGGCAGGCACGAGCUAGACACCAAAGCCUUCAUCUUCAAGGAGCUCCUCUUCUGGGCUUGGGAAAAAUUGAGCAAGACUGAGUACAACCACCGUACUCAACAAGACACACCCACAAAUGCAGAAUAAAUGCAAGGGAGUACAAAGGAAUUAUACUAUAAAGGGGUUAGGGUUGCAGUAAACAGCAUUUAAAGACGUUUAGUUGCUCAAAGCUAUUUUGUAAACGCGAUCCUAGAACUAUACAAUAUUAAUUAUCAAGGCCGUGAACCCACACGAACCUGCCUUAACCCAAGGCCUAUGAUGAUUCAGACCGAACUGGCAACCCGACCCUGGGUCCCAGCUCGUCCCAAGCCAACCCAGGCCAACCAUUCCACAUUUUAGUUGUUAAGCAGGUUUUAAGAAUUGAAACGCUAACUUGGGUACAUUGCUCGGCUUGCCCAUAACCGAGGGCGCGGCUAUUCGAAUAGAUUAUACUCUGAUCAGAGGUGUACAUCUUUACCCACAAGACACAUCUUCCUCACGUGCAACCACGUGCCACAUACCACCACGGUAUACAGACGGAAGCUGUGACAUAGUUUCCAACCCAUCCUAGCCAUAGACAAGAGUACCGACCCAAUCCCACCUACGGCCGGAACCCCCGGGACAGGCAGGCAGGACUGAGCCCCUAGCAGCAGGACACCGGCCCUGUGCCAUGACAUCUCGACUACCGGGCCGCAGCUCGUGUAGCCUUCAUUUGCCCUGGAGAAUGUCCAUCGACCCCCGACUUCAUCCAUCUCCAAUCCGUGUACUUUUGUUUAUAACCAGACUGAGCCACAAACUAAGCCUUACCCACUAGACAUGUGGAAGUACGGUAGUGCUUUGCAACAGAGGCCCGAAGACCGGUCCUUAUAUGGCCGAGGUGCUACUAUCAAAACCAUGCACCCCGAGCCCAGCCUAAAACCAUUUUGGGGAUUUUGAAUAGAAGGAGCGGUGUGAAGCCAAUUCCACAAUAACCAAACCAUUCUAAAGUGUCCAGGUGAUAAGAAUAUUUCCCAAAGUCUAUAGUUGAAAAACCACCUAAUGUUACCUAAUUAAAUUGCGAAGCAUCUACCUAAAACUAAACUAGUGGUGCCAUGAGUAGAGUGUCCACUAGUUGAGGUUUUGUUUAUUCUAGGGUGAACAAGGUAAUAAUAAUAAUAACAAUAAUAAUAAGGUCAUAACAAAGGUAAAUAGGCAUGGCUAAAUAAAACAGUGAUAACGCGGGAAUUUAAAUAAAGCGAUAAUGCAAUAAUUUAAAUCAACAUAAUUUUACAAACGGGGAUUCAAUAUGUUCAAAGAUGAUGUGACUUGCCUUGCUCGCUUUCCCAAACGUCGGCUUCAACUUCCACGAAGAGCGGAUCUUCCGAAGCUGCAGCGUCUACACGACCAACGGAAAAGAAAAGGCUUUUACUCUAAUAAACUCCAUAUAACAGCAGAAACAAAGCAUAAAAAUGGGUUCUUGGCUUCAUAAGGAAAAAUUAGAGACUUGAACGGUCCAAUUCCGAGUUCAAAUGGCCAAGUUAUGGCCAUUUGAAGUUUAUAUGCUCUUUAAAUGGAUAUUUGCGAAUUUCUUCAUUUAAAUUUUAAUUAAAAAUCGGAUUUAUUGCGUCAGCCGAGGGAGAGGGCGCGCGGACCGGGUCCACGGGAGUGGGGCCCACGCGUCAGCCUCUCGGUCCAUGGUGGACCGGGCGCACGCGGCUGACGCCGGCCGGCGUCGUGGGUCCCACGCGUCAGCCGCACCCGCGGGCGCGGGCGGCUGACGGCCGGGCCCCACCUGGCAGCCGCGGGACGCGCCCGAAGGCGGCCUUGCCGGCACGGCCGACGGGAGGCGGCGCGCCCGCGCCCCGAUGGUCGCCGGCGGCGACCUCCGGCGCGACGGAGCGGCGGCCGAGAGAGGGGAGGGAAGGGGGAAGUGAAACGGCGGUCCUUGGCUCACCCCGGGUCGACGGCGGUGACGGAAACGGCGACCGAAGCGGCGAGAGGCGGCGGCGCGGCUCGGGUUGACGAGGACGGCGGUGCUCCGACGGUCGGCGGGCGAAACGGAGGAGUGGACGAGGUCGACGAGGACGCGGCGAAGCCGAAGGAGGUGACGCCGAGACGGGAGGAGGUCCGGGGCGACGACGGCGGCGAACCGGAGCUCGGCGGCGACGGCGGAGAGAGAGGACGACAGCGCGGGCUUGAUUCCGACGGGGAGAGAAAGCGGCGAGCGGCGGAAACGGAGGAGAGAGGCUCGGGGAGCGAUUAUAUAGCGUCGGGAGGGGGAGAGAGCGGCCGGAGGGGAAGGAAUCGGCCGCGGAAAUCUCGGCCGCCAUUGAUGCGCCGGCGAAGAUCGCGGGAGUGAAUCCGGACGAAUCCGAGGGAGAGAGAGAGGGGAAAGUGGGGGGAAAGAGGGAGGGAAUCACGGGGAGUGAUUUCCCCCUCUUUAUGGCGCGCGGGGACGGCGGGAUGCGGCGGAUUCGGUGGCGGCGGCGGCGCUAGGGCACGGGCUGGCGGCGGGCGCGGCGCGAGGUAGGGGAUGACGGGUGGGCCCCACCCGUCAGCGAGGGUGGCGGGCGGGCCCGCCCGUCAGCGGCGCGCGCGCGGGGAGGAGGCCGAUGGGCCGCGGGGGAGAGGAGAGAGAGGGAGGGAGUUGGGCCGAGCCGGCCCAAGAGAGGAAGGGGGGGGGGGGAAAAGGACUUUUAGGGAUUUUUCUUUUUAUAAAACCCUUUUAACUUUGUUUAUUUCUUCUCAAUUAUUAUUUGUGCUCUGAAAAUUUCACUAAAAUUUAUUUACGCAUUUUAGGCUUUUAGGAAAUACACAAAAAUCCUCCAAGCCUUAUUUGACUUUUAUAUUUGCACAUUUUAAUUGUUGGAGGCUUUCACACGAAUUUUAAUUAUUCUCGGCACAAUUUCGAGGAUGUAUUUUAGAGUCGUUUUAGGACGCGACAGGGUCCCAGCUCGUCCCAAGCCAACCCAGGCCAACCAUUCCACAUUUUAGUUGUUAAGCAGGUUUUAAGAAUUUAAAACACUAACUUGGGUACAUUGCUAGGCUUGCCCAUAACCGAGGGCGCGGCUAUUCGAAUAGGUUAUACUCUGAUCAGAGGUGUACAUCUUUACCCACAAGACACAUCUUCCUCACGUGCAACCACGUGCCACAUACCACCACGGUAUACAGACGGAAGACGUGACAUAGUUUCCAACCCAUCCUAGCCAUAGACAAGAGUACCGACCCAAUCCCAACCUACGGCCGGAACCUCCGGGACAGGUAGGCAGGAUUGAGCCCCUAGCAGCAGGACACUAGCCCUGUGCCAUGACAUCUCGACUACCGGGCCGCAGCUCGUGUAGCCUUCAUUUGUCCUAGAGAUGUCCAUCGACCCCCGACUUCAUCCAUCUCCAUCCGUGUACUUUUGUUUAUAACCAGACUGAGCCACAAACUAAGCCUUACCCACUAGACAUGUGGAAGUACGGUAGUGCUUUGCAACAGAGGCCCGAGCUUAAUCCUUAUAUUGGCCGGGGUGCUACUUCCCACAACUGGCAUGCACCCAAACCCCACCGGAAAACAGGUUUUAGGGGUUUUGAAAGAGGAAGAGAGGGGUAUGUCCAAUUCCACCAUAAUCCAACAAUUCCAUAAUGUCCAAAUGAUAUGAGAUUUCCCAAAGUCUAAAGUUAUAAAACCACCUAAUGUUGCCUAAUUAAACAGCGAAGCAUCUACCUAAAUUCAUACUAGUGGAACCAUGAAUAGAGUGUCCACUAGUUGGGGUUUUGUUUAUUCUAGGGUGAACAAGGUAAUAAUAACAAUAGCAAUAAUAAUGUCUUAACAAAGGUAAAUAGGCAUGGCUAAAUAAAACAGUGAUAACGCGGGAAUUUAUAUAAAGCGAUAAUGCAUUAAUUUAAAUCAAAAUAAUUUUAUAAACUGGGAUUCAAUAUGCUCAAGGAUGAUGUGACUUGCCUUGCUCAGAGAGAACGGCCUUCCGAACCUUUGGCGACGACCGCGAACCACGCUUCUGGAACCUCCGGAACGACAGAAGCUACGCGAAGCACACAAGCAAAGCUACAAGCCUAUAAAGAAACAAUAACAAUACAUAAAAAGAAAGCAUACGGUUCUUUAGGUUAUAACAAACAUUAGGAGACUUGAACGGGUCGAUUCAGAGCUCGUAUGACCAAGAUAUGAUCAUCCAAAGUUUAAUGCUGUUAUAUGGAGAUUUGCGGAUUAUUAUAAUUAAACUUUGCAACUAUAAAACAUGUGUAAGCGCUAGCCUGGAAAGACAGGAAGGCUGCGCCGUUGACAUGCGGACCUCACAUGUCAACAAAAAGGACCGCGGUAGACCGCGUACACAGAGACGGUCCACGGGUCGACGGAAGCGGAUCCCGUGUGUCAACCGAGGCGAGUGGCCGACAAACGGACUCCACUAGACACCACACGGCCUGCACACGUGGAAACCACGCGGCUACCGAGCGGGCACACUAACACAGACACUACACGGUCACCACCCGCACGCGUGAACGACUACCGACACCGGUACACGGGUACCGGGGUCGACAACCGCACAACGGGUACGGGGUGACACUGAAAGGACGAGGACGGGGCAGCGAGAGGACGGAUCCUUACCACCACGCGACGAGGCGUGGGAACAACAACGACGAACGGGCGCGGCGGACGGCGAGGGAACGACUUCGGCGGCGAUCCUUGGACGAAGGCGAGACGCGGCCGGCAUGAGGCUUGACGACGCGGAGCCGAGGACAAAGACGACGACGGCUACAGCGACCUUGACGAAACACCGAGGACGGACGAGAACGGCUCGACAGAGGGACGAACGCCACGACGACCGGGAACGACGGGAGGACGACGACGACGACGACCGGGGCCGGCGAGGAGACGACGAGGGCAGCCGGCAGCGGCUGCACGGAGGCGAGGAUGGCGUGGAACACGCCGCUGCGAUGUCGACGACGGAGGCGGCGCCGCGAGAUGACGAGCCGGCGAGGAUGAACGGUGACGACGACGACGAACACCGGCGGGGUUCGGUCGAAGGGGAGGCGAGGCCGAGGGCGUCCUUGACGCUGCGAUGCCGGAGGUGGAGACGGCGACGUCGGCCGGCGCACUGGCACGGCGAAAGGGGCUGCCGGAGUGGGUGCCGACGAGACCGAGGAAGAGGCGGCGCGCGUGACGGCGGUGAGGGCUAGGGACCACGGGAGAUCGCGGGAGUGGGCUAAAACGAUAGAACGGAGCGAGGGGAUUCCGUUUUAUAGCGGAGGGAAGCGAGCCGGGCAUGGGAGAGGGCGGAACGGCGACGGGAAACACGGCCGGCAGCCAUGGAAGGCGGCCGGGAAUGGCGCGGCCGUUCCGGGCGAUUGGGGGCGCCAUUCAAGGGGAAAAACGGGGGAAAUCAAAGAGGAAUCAAUGGGGAUUAAUUCCCCCCAAUCAAUUUGGAAAGAGCCGGCUUGAAUGGAGCGGAUUUGGAGGAGGAACGGCGCUAGGGUUCACGGGAGAGAGAGGAAGGAGGCCGGCGGCUGGAGGCCGGGGACGCGCCUGACAGGCGGGACCCACGCGGGAGGCGCGCGGUCAACGCGCGGCAACGGCGCGCACGCACGCGCACGUGCGCGGCACGGGAGGGAGGCGCGGCUCGGCUUGGGCCGGGCGAAGCCGAGGCGGCCCAGGAGGAGAGGAGGGAGAGGCAGCCCGGGAGGGAGAGGGUGGAGGAGGGAGUGGGCCGAGAGGGGGAGGGGAAGAGUGGGCCGGGAGGAGGAGGAGAGGCCCGGGAGAGGAGGGAAAGAGAGGGAGGAGAGGGAGACUUUGGCCGCGGGCCAAGAGAGAGAGAGGAACCUUGGGCCAGACUUGGCCCAAAGGGAAGGAGAGGGUUAUUUUUAGGUUUUCGUUUUAUUAAACUUUGAUAAUUGUUUUUGUUGCUUAAUAAAUAUUUCCGGCGCUCUGAAAAUUCAAGUAAAAUUUGAGGGCUCCUUUUAGACCAAGGAGAAUUUAACAAAAAUUCUCCGGGCCACAUUCGAAUUUUUCUUGUACGUAUUUUAGUGUUUGCCAAUUUCUUUUCGAAUUUUAAUUAAUUCUAUUAUUCCUUUUAGAAAAUGAUUUUUAUUUUGGGAUGAAUUUAUCAGGACGUGACACCACAUCAUGUCACCAUGUGCCUCAAUACCACCACGGUACCUCGGAAAGGAGUUGUGACAAUAACCCUUGCACAACAUAACCCAUUACAGCGCACCUUUCCUGGAUCAUAAUCACCCCCUUAUAAACAAGGCCUGGUGUCGCGUCCCAAAACGGCUCUAAAAUACAUCCUCGAAAUUGUGCCGAGAAUAAUUAAAAUUCGUGUGAAAGCCUCCAACAAUUAAAAUGUGCAAAUAUAAAAGUCAAAUAAGGCUUGGAGGAUUUUUGUAUAUUUCCUAAAAGCCUAAAAUGCGUAAAUAAAUUUUAGUGAAAUUUUCAGAGCACAAAUAAUAAUUGAGAAGAAAUAAACAAAGUUAAAAAGGUUUUAUAAAAAGAAAAACCCUAAAAGAAGUCUUCUUUCCCCCCCCCUCCUCUCUUGGGCCGGCCCGGCCCAACUCCCUCCCUCUCUCUCCUCUCCCCCGCGGCCCAUCGGCCUCCUCCCCGCGCGCGUGCCGCUGACGGGCGGGCCCGCCCGCCACCCUCGCUGACGGGUGGGGCCCACCCGUCAUCCCCUACCUCGCGCCGCGCCCGCCGCCCGCCCGUGCCCUAGCGCCGCCGCCGCCGCCGAAUCCGCCGCAUCCCGCCGUCCCCGCGCGCCAUAAAGAGGGGGAAAUCACUCCCCGUGAUUCCCUCCCUCUUUCCCCCCACUUUCCCCUCUCUCUCUCCCUCGGAUUCGUCCGGAUUCACUCCCGCGAUCUUCGCCGGUGCAUCAAUGGCGGCCGAGAUUUCCGCGGCCGAUUCCUUCCCCUCCGGCCGCUCUCUCCCCCUCCCGACGCUAUAUAAUCGCUCCCCGAGCCUCUCUCCUCCGUUUCCGCCGCUCGCCGCUUUCUCUCCCCAUCGGAAUCGAGCCCGCGCCGUCGUCCUUUCUCUUCGCCGUCGCCGCCGAGCUCCGGUUCGCCGCCGUAGUCGCCCCGGACCUCCUCCCGUCUCGGCGUCACCUCCUUCGGCUUCGCCGCGUCCUCGUCGACCUCGUCCACUCCUCCGUUUCGCCCGCCGACCGUCGGAGCACCGCCGUCCUCGUCAACCCGAGCCGCGCCGCCGCCUCUCGCCGCUUCGGUCGCCGGUUCCGUCACCGCCGUCGACCCGGGGUGAGCCAAGGACCGCCGUUUCACUUCCCCCUUCCCUCCCCUCUCUCGGCCGCCGCUCCGUCGCGCCGGAGGUCGCCGCCGGCGACCAUCGGGGCGCGGGCGCGCCGCCUCCCGUCGGCCGUGCCGGCAAGGCCGCCUUCGGGCGCGUCCCGCGGCUGCCAGGUGGGUCCCGGCCGUCAGCCGCCCGCGCCCGCGGGUGCGGCUGACGCGUGGGACCCACGGCGCCGGCCGGCGUCAGCCGCGUGCGCCCGGUCCACCGUGGACCGAGAGGCUGACGCGUGGGCCCCACUCCCGUGGACCCAGUCCGCGCGCCCUCUCCCUCGGCUGACGCAAUAAAUCCGAUUUUUAAUUAAAAUUUAAAUGAAGAAAUUCGCAAAUAUCCAUUUAAAGAGCAUAUAAACUUCAAAUGGCCAUAACUUGGCCAUUUGAACUCGGAAUUGGACCGUUCAAGUCUCUAAUUUUUCCUUAUGAAGCCAAGAACCCAUUUUUAUGCUUUGUUUCUGCUGUUAUAUGGAGUUUAUUAGAGUAAAAGCCUUUUCUUUUCCGUUGGUCGUGUAGACGCUGCAGCUUCGGAAGAUCCGCUCUUCGUGGAAGUUGAAGCCGACGUUUGGGAAAGCGAGCAAGGCAAGUCACAUCAUCUUUGAGCAUAUUGAAUCCCAGUUUAUAAAAUUAUGUUGAUUUAAAUUAUUGCAUUAUCGCUUUAUUUAAAUUCCCGCGUUAUCACUGUUUUAUUUAGCCAUGCCUAUUUACGUUUGUUAUGACCUUAUUAUUAUUGUUAUUGUUAUUAUUACCUUGUUCACCCUAGAAUAAACAAAACCUCAACUAGUGGACACUCUACUCAUGGCACCACUAGUUUAGUUUUAGGUAGAUGCUUCGCAAUUUAAUUAGGUAACAUUAGGUGGUUUUUCAACUAUAGACUUUGGGAAAUAUUCAUAUCAUCUGGAUACUAUGGAAUGGUUUGGUUAUUGUGGAAUUGGCUUCACACCGCUCCUUCUAUUCAAAAUCCCCAAAAUGGUUUUAGGCUGGGCUCGGGGUGCAUGGUUUUGAUAGUAGCACCUCGGCCAUAUAAGGACCGGUCUUCGGGCCUCUGUUGCAAAGCACUACCGUACUUCCACAUGUCUAGUGGGUAAGGCUUAGUUUGUGGCUCAGUCUGGUUAUAAACAAAAGUACACGGAUUGGAGAUGGAUGAAGUCGGGGGUCGAUGGACAUUCUCCAGGGCAAAUGAAGGCUACACGAGCUGCGGCCCGGUAGUCGAGAUGUCAUGGCACAGGGCCGGUGUCCUGCUGCUAGGGGCUCAGUCCUGCCUGCCUGUCCCGGGGGUUCCGGCCGUAGGUGGGAUUGGGUCGGUACUCUUGUCUAUGGCUAGGAUGGGUUGGAAACUAUGUCACGUCUUCCGUCUGUAUACCGUGGUGGUAUGUGGCACGUGGUUGCACGUGAGGAAGAUGUGUCAUGUGGGUAAAGAUGUACACCUCUGAUCAGAGUAUAAUCUAUUCGAAUAGCCGCGCCCUCGGUUAUGGGCAAGCCGAGCAAUGUACCCAAGUUAGCGUUUCAAUUCUUAAAACCUGCUUAACAACUAAAAUGUGGAAUGGUUGGCCUGGGUUGGCUUGGGACGAGCUGGGACCUAGGGUCGGGUUGCCAGUUCGGUCUGAAUCAUCAUAGGCCUUGGGUUAAGGCAGGUUCGUGUGGGUUCACGGCCUUGAUAAUUAAUAUUGUAUAGUUCGAGAAUCGUGUUUACAAAAUAGCUUUGAGCAACUAAACGUCUUUAAAUGCUGUUUACUGCAACCCUAACCCCUUUAUAGUAUAAUUCCUUUGUACUCCCUUGCAUUUAUUCUGCAUUUGUGGGUGUGUCUUGUUGAGUACGGUGGUUGUACUCAGUCUUGCUCAAUUUUUCCCAAGCCCACAAGAGGAGCUCCUUGAAGAUGAAGGCUUUGGUGUCUAGCUCGUGCCUGCCGUCAAGCGCCUGUGGUCGUCGCCCUAGUCUUCCGCUGUUUCUCGUUUGUCUCUGUGUGUGCUGGGCCUUCGCUGCCCAUGUAAUAAGUUAACUAUUUACGCUUCCGCUUGUUGAACUCUGAAUUGUAUCAACUUUUGGUGUACCUUGCCUCCUGGGACAAGGAUUAAUGCACGCACGUCAGGAACGCCCGUUGGGUUAUUUCCGGUCGUGACACCUGGACUCCCCAGCGACCCCCGUGGACUUCUCGCCACUUCUCAGUCUGGCGCACUAUAAUGAAUCACGCUAUACAAAAGAUAAAGCCGUUGCCCACGCUGGCUUGUGGCUGGCACGAUAAAUGUUUCACAACAGUAGCUCGCGAACCGGUCCUUAAUUGUCAUGAGCACAACCAUCAAAACCAUAUGCUCACAACCCACCUUAACCAGGUUUUAAUUAUCAAUUAAUUAACCUCACACG
RNAcentral lists this long non-coding RNA (55059 nucleotides) under Oryza sativa (Asian cultivated rice). Its description in RNAcentral is "long non-coding RNA (OSAT_LNC000956)". The record is from RNAcentral. Lineage: Eukaryota; Viridiplantae; Streptophyta; Magnoliopsida; Poales; Poaceae.